CUCAUAUUUCACAAUGAAAGAAUGCCGUGCAUCGCCGUGGGCGCGAGAAUCCAUCAUGUUAGGCAUGCCAAUCACCGCAGAAGCGAGCAUGGAAAGAGAGAAGGGGACGCUUGAUGAAGAUGAAGAUGAAGAUGAAGAUGAAGAUGAUUUGUUUGUAGGCAUGCCAAUCUCCGCAGAUGCGAACAUGGAAACAGAAAGGACAAUGCUUCUUGUAAGAAAUAUAAGUGCUCCUUCCACACACGGACCCCACGCCCCCGCUGAUGAAGAUGAAGAUGCGGAGCAUAAGAAAUUAAUGGACCGCCGCAUGCACGCGCUAGCGACCCAAGGAAAUGUUGAUGGCUUUAUUAAAAUUUUAGGCUCGAUAUCCUCCGAACAGAACCCACUUCUCUGCCAAGUUAGUCCCCGGAAAAACACAUGCCUCCACAUAGCAGCAAGCUUUGGACACCAUGAUCUUGCCAAGUACAUCGUGAAAGAGUGUCCAGAUCUUAUAAAAAAUAAAAACUCCAAAGGCGACACGGCACUUCAUAUUGCUGCUAGAAAAAGGAAUUUAUCUUUCGUUAAGAUUGUCAUGGAUUCAUGCCCUUCUGGAGGUGGCGCAUCCCAAGAUGUAGAGAAGGCUGAGCCUUCAUUGCUGGGAAUUGGUAACAAAGAAGGAAAUACAGUGUUGCAUGAGGCACUGAUAAACCGUUGCAAACAAGAAGAGGUGGUGGAGAUCCUUAUUAAGGCAGAUCCCCAAGUGGCUUAUUAUCCGAAUAAGGAGGGAAAGUCACCAUUGUAUCUAGCUGCAGAAUCACACUACUUCCACGUCGUAGAGGCUAUAGGAAACUCUGAAGUUGAGGAGCGCAUGAAGAACAGAGACCGCAAAGCAGUCCAUGGUGCCAUUAUGGGAAAGAAUAAGGGUAUUUCCCGCCUCCUUCUCUCUCUCUAUUAAAUUUUCUUCUUCCUCUUCAAACUUAAAAAGCAUUGUUUGCAAUGACGAUGGGGCUUAAAUAAUCUGUUGCUUCUAACCAUAGAAGAAGUCUACUGGGCUUGUCUCAGCUUUUGCUUCAAUAUUCCUUGUUCCUAAAAAUUCAAAUUUUUUUAUUAAUUUAUGGGAGAUCCAUAAUAUUUACAACUCUUCUUUCCCAACCCAAACCCCGUCGUAAAUAUUCUUCAUCUUUGUUUUCAAAAUCCUAAUCCUAUUUUGUCAUCUUCUAAUUAUUCUUCUUCAAAACUCCAGUCCUAAUUAAUUCUUUAUUUUAUUUUCUAAAUCACAAAAAUUUAAAAUUAACUAUAAAAAAAAAAAAAAAAAAUUGCAGUUACAUAUGGCUUCGUUGUGUGCAUAUGGGAUGGUUUAAUUAAAUAGAGGGGGUAAAAAGGGCCGUAAGAGGGAAGAACAAUUGUCUGUAUAGUUUGGGGUUGACUUCAAGUGAUCAUUUAAGAUUUGAUUUCGAGAUUAAGGUUAGAGUUAGGAUUUUUCUUUUCCCUUUUUUUUUCUUUAUGUUAUAUGUUUCUUAUAGAUGCGAUGAAGUAGAAUGGAUCCUACACAUUUGAAAGAAACACAAAUUAUAAAUGAUGUGAUGAUUUUCUAUUAUUCCCCAUUUAACUAUUGCAAUAUUAUUAAGAGUAUGGAUGGGAAUAAGAUAGGUGUUUACAGAAAUCAUCCCGUUGAGUUUGAAAUUUAAAUAAAUGAGGUUUGAAAUGAGUUUGAGAUUUUUUCAAAGAAUUAAACAGAGCCAAAUGGGGUGGGACAUGUAUGAGGACGUUUAAUUUUUUUUUAUUGGGAUGGGACUUAGAAAUAUUUUGAAUAAAUGAGAUGGGGGUUGGGAUAGAAGUGACCAUCCCGAAUCCACCCCAUUUCAAUCCCUAAUUAAGAAGAAGAUAAUGUAAAUAACAAAAUUUACAGAAUUUUUAAAAUCCAAGGAGGGAACUUAUAAUUAAAGGAAGCUUUUAAAAGGAUGGGCACCCCAUGUGGUACAACCUCACACCAAAUUGAUACUGUUUUGUUGAAUUACAGAUAAUAAAAUAAUCAAUUAAAAAAAAUCUCUUUUCUAUUUUUAUAUUAAUUUUCCUUCCUUAUUUUAAUUAUCUAAUAAUUGAACCCUUUCCAAACAAAAAAAAAAGCAAUCUUAAUUUUAUUUUUUAUAUGUGAAUUUUUUUUUAUGUAAUUUUAGUUAUUAAUGACUUGCACUCAUAUAAUAAUAUAUUUAUUAGAAAAAGGUUGUUUGAAACAUUCAUAUAAAUUUUUCUUUUAUAUAUGAUGAAAAAAUGCCAGAGAUGUUGGAAAAAAUACUGGCCAUGAGGCUCGUCCACCAAAAAGACGAAGAUGGAAGGACUCCACUUCAUUGUGCAGCAUCCAUUGGAUAUCUCGAAGGAGUUCAAAUGCUGUUAGACCAAUCUAACUUGGAUCCAUAUCGAACGGACUCUCAUGGCUUCUGUCCCAUCCAUGUUGCAUCAAUGAGAGGCAAUGUGGACAUUGUCAAAAAGUUGCUCCAGGUCUCCUCUGACUCAGUAGAGUUGCUAAGCAAACUCGGUGAGAACAUUCUUCAUGUGGCAGCCAGGUAUGGUAAAGACAAUGUAGUCAAUUUUGUGCUCAAAGAAGAAAGGCUUGAGAACUUUAUAAAUGAGAAGGACAAGGCUGGAUACACGCCACUGCAUUUGGCAACCAUGCAUAGACAUCCCAAGGUCGUAAGCUCUUUAACAUGGGAUAAAAGAGUUGAUGUGAAUCUUGUGAAUGAUUUAGGCCAGACUGCUUUGGACAUUGUAUUAUCAGUGGAGCCUCCAACUACAUUUGACCAGGUAUAUCUAUAUGAUGAUUUGCAUCUUGUUUUCUAAAUGAUGGGUACUACUAGUAGUUUCACCCUUCAACUGCAUGCCAUGAGUAGGAAAUUAGAAUGCCUCAUCCAUGCAUUGUUACAGUGCUAUGGCAUUUUCCUUCUUAGAUGCAUGCAUGCAAUUAAAUUAUUAAAAGGAUCGAUCAGGACAACAUGGUUUGUUUUCCUUUCCUAGAAGGACCGACUAAUAUUAAUAAGAACUAGAUCAACACUUCAACUCAAGCCACUAACCCUUGAUUGAAGGUCAAUUUGAGCCCAAGAUAUCCUAAAAGUCAAGAAAAUUAUGGAGCCUAACUCAAUCACCAUCACCCUCGCCCAGAUUAGAGCGACUCAACCAAGGUUAGGCUAGGUUUCUCCAGCAAGUGCAUAUACUCUUGAUGUCGGCAAAGACUUAUGGGAAUAAUUUUUUGCAUCAUACUAAAAAGUUUUCAGUGUAGAGAACUGCUAUAUCAUGUGCGCUUGUGGUUGCUCUCUUGCUGCUUCACAUUGCUUAAUUUCAUACUUCUAGUGGGUGUUCAUUGAAUUUACAGGGAAAAGAGAAUAGCUUCCCAACAAAAUAUUACGAAACCCAACUCAUGGAAUUAUAGUCUACUUUUAGUUAUUAUUACGACACAUACAUUUUAUGUUCUCUCUUUCUCACGAUUACAUUAACAGCAACAUUUUUUUCUCUACUACGCAGGCACUAAUUUGGACAGCACUCAAAUCUGCUGGUGCACGACCAGCGGGAAAUUCAAAGUUCCCACCCAAUAGACGUUGUAAACAGUACUCUGAAUCACCUAAAAUGGACAAGUACAAGGACAGGGUAAACACUCUUUUGUUGGUUUCGACCCUUGUUGCCACAGUGACAUUUGCUGCUGGUUUUACCAUGCCAGGUGGCUACAACAGCUCCGACCCAAAUGUCGGCAUGGCUGCCUUGCUGAUGAGAAAUAUGUUCCAAAUGUUCGUCAUCUGCAAUACCACUGCUAUGUAUACCUCCAUCCUCGCGGCAAUCAUCCUCAUCUGGGCACAGUUAGGUGAUCUCAAUUUGAUGGAUACUGCCCUCAGAUUUGCAUUGCCAUUCUUGGGGUUGGCCCUUACUGCGAUGUCCUUAGGCUUCAUGGCAGGUGUUUACCUGGUGGUCAGUAAUCUUCAUUGGCUUGCAAUUGUUGUCGUCAUUAUUGGAAUCAUCUGCCUUGUCGGUCUCCUAGUACCCUUUUUUUUACUUUUCCUCCCAAGUAAGUCUACUAAUCGUAUCCUUAGGCACAUCUCCUAUUAUCCGUUUCUUAUAUUGGUAUGGGCAUCUAAAAGCCCCGAAAUGAAACGGGAAGAUUAGCUAGCCCUGUUGAUGAUGUCUGCUAGCUCCAUCUUCCCCUAUGUUUGUUGCUUCUUUCAGCAUUAUCUCAAUGACUUGGUAGACAAAGUAUGUUAUGUAUAAAUGCUUAGUGUGAUAUAUUGAUGGUGUUGUACAUGACCAUUUCUUAUAUAAAUCUAUGGUUUUUGGAUCUAUAAUUAGGUAGUUCUAUAUAUAUUUCAAUAAAUACUCCAUUCAUACAUAAAUAACCUGAAUUCGUUAUUAAUAGGUUCAGUUUAAUUUAUUGAUUGAAAUUUGAAUUUGCAAUUGCAAUUUUUACACUUUUUUAAUUAUUAUUAUGAGAAUUUUGAUUUUCAAAUCGGUUGCAUCUUCUACAUUACAAUUCAUUGGGAAGGGGAAAAGGUUUUAAUUUUGGAAAAAAAAAAUUUAUUGGCUUUUGAGUUCCAAAGAAUUUUUCAAAAUUAAGGAGUUUAAUAAUUUUUUAAAAAUAAUUUGAAAAUAAAAUAUCGAGGGAGUUAACACUAGAACUAAGAAUUAGUUGAAAAUGACUAUAUUAAUCUCUAGUUUAUGCACAAUUAUAUUUUUCAUUAUAUUUUAUUAUAUUAUUAAUAUUCAUAUUUUAUUAAAAAUUAUUUAUUUUGAAUUUAUUUAUAAUUAAAAAAUUAUUUUUAUUUUUAAUAAGACACAAAUUAAAUUUAACUUAUAUUAUAUAAAUUAAAUUUAUAAUUUUGUGAUUUUUACAAAAUAAAAAUAAAAUUUAUUUUUAGAAACAACUAAUUUAAUUCUUAUAAUCAUUUAAGUUAUCUAAAUAUAGAAAUAAAUGAGAAAAUAAUGGAGAUCUUCAUUUCCAUUCCUGUUUUACCGCGUGGCAAACAGUCCCUCAUCUUAAUUAAUAACAUAACAUGAUUUAUAUAUUUGAUGGACGGUAAAAUCAACCCUUUGUUUGGUAACUCAUAUUGUAGUAAACCCUAAGUUGAGUUUGAUGAUAGUCGGACGUAUUGAUGACGGAUUUGACGGACAUAACGUUCAAACCCGCUCAAAGACUCAAUCAAACCCACAGAACUUCACAACUGAUUAAAAUAAUUUUAUAAACCAAAAUGAUCAAACUUUGUAGUUUCUGGGAUUCGUGUUGAUGCUUCCAAAUAGGUUCCAAGAUGUUCCCAGUGAGUUUGGAAAAGAGAGAAGUGGAUUCCUUGAGCUUCUCAAACAUUUUCUAAGAAAUUGUCAAACACUUGGUCUCUUCAUCUAACCCGUAUGAUUCAAACACACCCAUGAAGACUUUUCUUCAUAGGACGUCACAUUUCAAACUCCAGCAAACGAGUAAGAUAUUUGAGUUGCCGUGCUUCAUAUCCAUUCCGUGUCUGUUGGAAGUCCUAUGUGAUGUAAGUUGGACUAUCAAAUGAAUUUCUUUUAGUAUCAUAUUUUUUAUUCAACUUAUCAUAUGUAUGUAAUGCAUAGGUUCUUCUCUCACAGAUUGACUUGGCCCUUACUUCCAUCCCAAGCAAGAAAGUGCAGGUAUCUCAUGGCCGGCAGUGGACUAAUGAUAUAUGAACUCAUUUUAAAUUGGGUCUGACUAACUUGGCCACUGGGGUUGUUACCUCGAAAGGACUUGAGUGGGGUUCAUGUUUAAGUCUUUCUUUUUUAAUCUAGGUAUGUACUGUGUGUGCUCUCUUCUUAUUUUAGUCGAAUUCAAAGAAUAGUUGUUUCUUCCUAGUCUUGGUAAGUGGUUGCUCAAGGAUAUCAUAUUAAGAUUUUUAUUAUUUUUAUUUUCUGUUUUUGACUUAGUGCCUUCUCAAGAUUUUGAAUUGUCAAAAAAGCUGGUUAUAUUGUAUAAACAAUCAUCAUAGUAUUAGAAUUAGCAUAUAUAAUUUGGUAUUGAUGUGCAUGUUCUCUUCCUCUGUAUGACCUAUCCUUUGCGAUGAAGUAUCGGACUGGUUUCUUUGUUGCCAUUAUUUCUUUUUUCUUUUAAACUUCUUAAACCAACAUAAAUACAAGCACAGCUAACGGAUUUGAUUAGGCAAGUCAACUACAAUAGGAGAUAUUAUGAGACAAGACGAUUUAAUGAUGAAUUUUGAGAGGCUAAGAAAGCAGGGGAGGGGAGAAAGAUGGAAGACAGGGAAACAAAGGCAAAAACAACCCAAGAAGCAAGCCAUCUUGGCAAUCUCUGAGCUUAAGGAUGCCAAAUUAUUGGAGGACUAUGUGACAGCUAGUUCCAUGGAUCCUGAUUUGUACAGAGCUACGAUACAAGGAGACAUUCUUGAAUUCAUAAAAGCCGUGGAACAAGGACCAGACAAUAGACACGCUGGUGUACCUGCUGCAUCUUGUAUCCAAGUGACCCCUCAGAAGAACACAGUUCUUCACCUAGCAACGAUCUUUGGACAUGACGAGAUUGUAAAACUCAUUUCUAAGGACUUGCCCUUUCUUGUCAUGGAAAGAAAUUGCAGAGGUGACACUGCACUUCACAUUGCAGCCAGAGCUGGCAAUUCACUGCUAGUGAAUUUGUUGAUUAAUUCAACAGAAGGGGUUUUGGGUGUGAAGAAUGAGACGGGUAAUACCGCAUUGCAUGAGGCAUUGCAACAUCGUCAUGAAGAGGUGGCCUGGAAUAUAAUUAACAAGGACAGAAAUAUGUAUUGUUCUGUCAAUAAGGAAGGAAAAUCUUUGUUGUAUUUGGCCGCAGAAGCAGGAUAUGCAAAUCUUGUUAGGUUUAUAAUGGAAAAUCCUGCAGGAAACUACAGCAUUGAAGGAAAGCUCGAGAACAAACCAUCUGUGAAAGCUGCCAUUCUUGGGAAGAAUACAGGUAAAUGAAAUUCUCUCCUCUAAUCUCCCUUUUUUUUCCCUUUAUUGGUAUGCUUGUCUUUCAAUUUCAGACUUCCAAGAGUCUGCACUUGGAUUGGAAAUUUUUAAGUGACUGCACUUUCACACUUCUUAGUUUUUUCCUACAAAAAGCCCUGCAACUACUAUAAACCACCCAAUUCUCUGCACCUGUGAAUCAGAAAACUUUACCCAAACUAUAUUGCAUCCAAUUGUCACCAUUAAAAGGUAAUGAUAUCAUGGCACAUAAGAGCAUUCUCAUUUUUCUGGAAGUUGGAAGACCUCAAUUAUUUCUUGCUUAAUUAAUUGGUGAUAUUCCUGUGCUUCCAUGUUUGAACUAGUGUGUCCAUUGUAAUCUCCUUCCAUGGAUUUCCUUAGGUGUGGCUGCCCAUCAAGAAGAGAUCAGGAAUAGUCCAGAAAUAUUACUGUCUUAUUCUAAUCACAUGAGUAUCUAGCAGUAAAGAAAUAUAUCUGUAGUAGCUGAUUUUUUUAGAUAGGUCCUCUAGUAGCCAAUCGACCUUUUUUCUUUACAAGAAGGCUUCUAUUGUGACUUGUGAAGACAGUGAUAAAUUGACAAUAUUUCUGAUUAUCAUUUGGAUUUAGGAGCAUAUUUUACCAUAUAUUUUGUUCUCACACAUGGCAAGAUUUUCAUUUAAUGUGUUAUCAUCAGUCCUGUGAUCACCAAAAAAUUCGCUUAAAUAUGGUUCACACUUCUUUGUUUGUUUGUUUUCAUUUUUUUGUUUUGGGCGACAUUAGAUGUUCUCAAGAUAAUGUGGGAAAGAGAUCAAUCAUCCUUCAAUUUAAGAUGUGAAGAAGGGAGGAACCCUCUUCACUAUGCAGCAUCUAUUGGUUUUGUUGAAGGAAUCAAUUACUUUUUAGACAAAUACUGUAUCGCUGCUUACCAAGGGGACAAAGAUGGCCUCUCUCCUAUUCAUAUAGCAGCCAUCAAAGGUCAUUUCCACAUAAUUCAAGAGAUGCUCCAGCAUCGCCCAGAUUUGAUGGAGCUGCUCACUUGCAAAGGCCAGAAUACCCUUCAUGUCGCAUGGUACUUGACUUUCAAUUAUUUUAUGCUGAUGGUGGUAUGGUACUUGACUUUCAAUGAACAAUGGUUAACUUUUGGUGAGAUGUAUUUGCUGGUGUAUAACCUGAUAUUUUUAGUUUGAAUAUUCUGAGGGAUAAAAAAGAAAUAAUGAUAUUUAAAUAAGUAUUUUUUAUUUAACAAUAUUAAUAAUUUUAUUUAUGAAUUUAUAUUUAUCUUUUAUUUAAUUAGUAAAUAAAAUAUAUAAUAAGAUAAUUAAGAUUAACUUAUUUAUAAUAAUUCUAUUUUAAUUCAUUAAUAAUAUAAUAUAUAUUUAUAAUUUAUCAAUUAUGUCUUCCCUAAACAAAAACUUUGUCCAUUGAUAUAGGUCAUUUCUUAAUUUGUUCGAGAAUCUAGGUUUAUUUUCUACUCUUGUGGGCUAGUGAAUUUUUUUUUUUUUUUUUUGAAGUGUAAGUGUUACAAUAACCCCACAUCAGAAAUAAAAAAACACCCCCUAACCCUAACGUACCGUACAAAUGAUCUUUUAUUAACUUAGACAUUUACUUGACCAAAGCAAAAGCCAUUAGAUGCUUGUCUUGUAAUGCAAUCUUGCCCUUUGUUCAAUUCACAGCCUUAAAUGAUUCACUGUCAUCCAAUAGAUGGAAAUGGUGAUCUUAAUCGGUUUUUAAAAAUAAAUAAUUGUUUUUGUAUAAUUAAAAAUUAAUUAGGAUUAAAGAUUAAAAAACAAGACUAAAGUUUAAAUUUUGUUUGAAUUUUAAAAUUUAGAAAUUUAAAAAUAAAAAAAUGUAAAAUCAGAAAGGAUUGAAAUUAGGAUCUGUAUAUGAUAUAUUUGUGCGUCGGUAUAGAAGAUUGGGAUUGGAUUGAAGUAGAAAAUUCAAAAUGAAAUUACAAUAAGAAUACGGUAAAGGGAUAACGUUGGGACACCACUACUGGUGUACACUUCCAAGGCUGGAUGUAAAAGAAGGCCAUGCCAUGUCAUGCCACCUGGAACAAAAUAAGGGGUUCUACAGAUUCUCUUAUCGGAAUCAUUUGAGAUAUGGAUGCAUAGAAGGAAAGGAGACUCCUCUAAAACUUGUGUAAACUUGUGUUUGUGUGUAGGUGAGAGGUUGGGACUCUCCGAUCAAUAAGGAACUCGGAGCAGAUUCGAACAAGGAAGAAGGCGGGGAAGGGCAGAUGGCACCACACAUGCCAUUCUCCGCAGAUGUGGACAUGGAUAGAGAUAGAAGUGCUCCUUACAGGUAUAAACACAUCGUCCCUGCAAUCUCCGCAGAUAGAAGUGCUCCUUCCACACAUGUGGGCAUGGCUAGAGAUAGAAGUGGUCCUUCCACACAUGUGGGCAUGGCUAGAGAUAGAAGUGCUCCUUCCACACAUGUGGGCAUGGCUAGAGAUAGAAGUGCUCCUUCCACAUAAGGAGUCGUCGCUCCCGCCGAUGAAGAUGAAGAUGUGGAGCAGGAUAGAUUAAUGGACAGCCGCAUGUACAUGCAGGCGACCCGAGGACGUGUUGAUGAAUUUAUUCAAAUUUUAGAAUCGAUAUCCUCUGAAAAGGAACUUUAAAGCUCAGAAAUCCUCUCCCAAGUUAGCCCCCGGAACAACACAUGCCUCCACAUAGCAGUAAGAUUUGGACACCAUGAGCUUGCCGAGUACAUCGUGAAAGAGUGUCCAGACCUUAUCAAAAAGACAAACUCCACAGGCGACACUGCACUUCAUAUUGCUGCUAGAAAAAAGGAUUUAUCUUUCGUUAAGUUUGCCAUGGAUUCAUGUCCUUCUGGAAGUGGCGCAUCCCGAGAUGUAGAGAAGGCUGAGCAUCCAUUGCUGAUCAUUGUUAACAAAGAAGGAAAUACAGUGUUGCAUGAGGCACUGAUAAACCGUUGCAAACAAGAAGAGGUGGUGGAGAUCCUUAUUAAGGCAGAUCCCCAAGUGGCUCAUUAUCCGAAUAAGGAGGGAAAGUCGCUAUUGUUUCUAGCUGCAGAAGCACACUACUUCCAUGUCGUCGAGGCUAUAGGAAAACCUAAAGUCGAGAAGCACAUGAACAUUAACAGAGACCGCGAAGCCAAGCCGGCAGUCCAUGGUGCCAUUCUGGGAAAGAAUAAAGGUAUGACCCGUCCCAUUCUCAAUCUCCAUUUAAUUCUCCUGCUCUUCUUCUUCUUCUUCAAACCUAAAAAACACCAUUUCCAAUAAAAUCUUAAACCUAUAUUCGAUUCUCAUAGUUGAAAAAAAAAUUAUUAAGGAAAGUGAUUUUCUAAUAUGCUGUUUUACCAUGAAAACAUGAAAGAAAGUGAAAUAUAAUUAAAAUUAAUAAGAAAUUUAUAUCAUUUAAAAUUAUUUAAUUUUUAUAUAGAAUAGUUAAAUAAGUAAAAUGAAUUUAAAGUAAUAUAUAAAAAUAAUUUAUCAAUUUAAAUUUUUUAUUUUUCCUUUUUUAAUUUUUCUUCUUUAUUUUCUAUUUUCACAUAUUCCCUCAAACUUUGGGACCAAACAUAACCUAAAUGAUCACUUGAAGUCAAUCCCAAACUAUCCAAACAAUUCUUCUUUCUUAUAGCCCUUUUUGCCUCCCCUCUAUUUAAACCAGCCAAUAUGCACGCAACAAAGCCACAACAGCAAAUUUUCUUUAGUUAAUUUUAAAAUUUUGUGAUUUAGAAAAGAAAAUUAAGAAUUAGGAGCUAGUGGGGUUUUGAAGAAGAAUAAGAAGAUGACAAACUAGGAUUAGGAUUUUGAAAACAAAGAUGAAGAAUAUUAUUUACAAGGACGGGUUUGGGCCGGGAAGAGGAGUUAUAAACAUUAUUGAUCUCCCAUAAAUUAAUAAAAAUUUUAAUUUUUUAGGAACGGGGAAUAUUGAAGCAAAAGAUGAAAAAAAAAAAAAAAGCCAAUUUACUUUUUCUAUAAUUAGUUCAACAGAAAAACAUAAAUGUGUUCUCAUUUUAAUUUCUUUUAUAUAUGAUGAAAAAAUGCCAGAGAUGUUGGAAAAAAUACUAGCCCUGAAGAUCGUCCACCAAAGAGAUGAACAUGGAAGGACUCCACUUCAUUAUGCGGCAUCGAUUGGAUAUCUUGAAGGAGUUCAAACGCUGUUAGCUAAAGACCAAUCUAACUUCGAUCGAUAUCAUAGGGACGACGAAGGCUUCUUACCCAUCCAUGUUGCAUCAAUGAGAGGCUAUGUAGACAUCGUCAAAGAGUUGCUCCAGGUCUCCUCUGACUCAAUAGAAUUGCUUAGCAAACACGGUGAGAACAUUCUUCAUGUGGCAGCCAAGUAUGGUAAAGAUAAUGUAGUCGAUUUUCUGCUGAAAAAAAAAGGGGUUGAGUACCACGUAUGCACAUCCUAAGGUCGUAAACUAUUUAACAUGGGAUAAAAGAGUUGAUGUGAAUCUUGUGAAUAAUGAAGGCCAGACUGCUUUCGACAUUGCUGUAUCAGUGGAGCAUCCAACUUCAUUGCACCAGGUAUAUAUGACGAUUUGCAUCUUGUUUUCUGAAUUAAGGGUACUACUAUUGGUUUCACCUUGAACUGCAUGCAUUGUUAAUGCUAUGGCAUUUUCCUUCUUAGAUGCAAGCAUGUGAAUUAUUAAAAGGAUCAAUCAGGAAAACAUAGUUUGUAUUUCUUUCCUAGAAGGACCGACUGAUAUUAAUAAAACCUAGUUCAACUAAAAGAAGAUCAAUUUGAUCCCAUGAUAUCCUAAAAGUCAAGAAAAUUAUGGAGCCUAACUCAAUCACCAUCACCCUCGCCCAGAUUAGAGCGGCUCAACCAAGGUUAGGCUAGGUUUCUCCAGCAAGUGCAUAUACUCUUGAUGCCGGCAAAGACUUAUUGGAAUAAUUUUUUGCAUCAUACUAAAAGGUUUUCAGUGUAGAGAACUGCUAUAUCAUGUGCGCUUGUGGUUGCUCUCUUGCUGCUUCACGUUGCUUAAUUUCAUACUUCUUGUGGGUGCUCAUUGAAUUUAUAGGGAAAAGAGAAUGGCUUCCCAACAAAAUAUUUCGAAACCCAACUCAUGGAAUUAUAGUCUACUUAUACUUUCUAUAGUUAUUAUUACGACGCAUACAUUUGAUUUUCUUUCUUUCUCACGACUACAUUAACAGCAACAUUUUUCUCUCUACCACGCAGAGACUAAUUUGGACAGCACUCAAGUCUACUGGUGCACGACGAGCCGGAAAUUCAAAGGUCCCACCAAAACUGCCUAAAUCACCUAAUACGGACCAGUACAAGGACAGAGUAAACACUCUCUUGUUGGUUUCGACCCUUGUUGCCACCGUGACAUUUGCUGCUGGUUUUACCAUGCCAGGAGGCUACAACAGCUCUGAUCCAAGUGCCGGCAUGGCUAUCUUUCUGAUGAGAAAUAUGUUCCAUAUGUUCGUCAUCUGCAAUACCAUUGCUAUGUAUACCUCCAUCCUCGCGGCAAUCAUCUUCAUCUGGGCACAGUUACGUGAUCUCAAUUUGAUGGAUACUGCCUUCAGAUUUGCAUUGCCAUUAUUGGGGCUGGCCCUUUAUGCAAUGUCCUUCGGCUUCAUGGCAGGUGUUUCCUUGGUGGUCAGUAAUCUUCAUUGGCUUGCAAUUGUUGUCUUCAUUAUUGGAAUCAUCUGCCUUUUCAGUCUCUCAGUACCCUUUCUUUUACUCUUCCUCCCAAGUAAGUCUACUAAUCGUAUCCUUAGGUACAUCUCCUAUUAUCCGUUCCUUAUACUGGUAUGGGCAUCUGAAAGCCCCGAAAUCAAACAGGAAGAUUAGCUUGCCCUGUUGAUGAUGUAUGCUAGCUCCAUCUUCUCCUAUGUUUGUUGCUUCUUUCAGCAUUAUCUCAAUGACUUGGUAGACAAAGCAUGUUAUGAAUAAAUGCUUAGUGUGAUCAGAACUUCAAUAUAUUGGUGGUGUUGUACAUGAUCAUUUGUCAUAUAAAUCUGUAGUUUCUGGAGCUGUAAUAUGUGAAAUACUCUAUAUAUAUUUCAAUAAAUACUCCAUUCAUCCAUACUGAUCAAUGCAUAUUUGUCUUUGCUUUAAAAUUUUUUAGAAAAGAAAAAAAGAAAAAAAAAUCUUGGAAAUCCCAAAAUGAUUAAUUUGAGAAAUAUCAUUAUUUAACAAAUAAAAAAACACAUGAAUAUAUAAACCCCACUACGUCAUUUUCUUUGAAGUACCCUGUUGCGGAUUUGAUGAGAAAAAGGUAAUCAAAUGGCAUAGCAUAAAAUUUAAAUUAGAGUUUUCUCAUCAAAAUGUGCAGAAUUAAAACCUUUACUAAAACAAUUGAUUUUUAGGAACCAAAUUUUGGUGAAAAAAAAAAAUCAUAAUUCAUCUAUAAAACUAAUUAUUGACAAUAAACUUUUACAUUUCUUACAAACUAUUUAAUGAUGAUACCUUAGUGAUUAACUUCUAAACUCAUUUAUAAAAUGUAACAUUAGACUUUGUUUGAUUUUGAAGAGUUUGAAAGGAAAUGCAAAAGAAAGAAAAAAAAAGAGGAGAAAAAUAAAAGGAAAGAAAAAAUAAAUUUAAAGUGAAUAAAUUAUUUUGAUAUAUUAUUUUAAAAUUUUUCAUUUAUUUAAAUUUUUAUAUAAAAAUAAAAUAAUUUAAAAUCUCAAGAUUACUAAAAAAUAUCUUGGGAUAGCAAAAAGUUUAUGAUCUUUUUCCUACGUGGAACAAGUGAUAAUUGAGCACCACCUAUUCAAUCCCUCUAAUUAGUUAUGAUUAUCUUAUUUAAUUAAUGAUUUAUGUAUUUCAUAGAUAAGUUGACAAUUUUAUUCUAUACAUUUUAAACUAAAACUCUAUAUACUUUCUUGUAACCAAUUAGAGUCUACGGAUGGUAAUGGGGUGGAUUUUUUUGAGUACUUGCCCGUCCCAUCCUUAAUGGAAUGGAUUUGAAUUUUAACUAAAUGGGUUUAGGAUGGGUUUGGAAAUUUUUUUAAAACUUGGGGUGAAUUUGGGUGUUGUCUUGUCUCAUCCCACCAUAUUAUAUAUAAAAUUAAUUUUUAAAAUUAAAUUAAAUUAAUUUUUAUUUUACUAUUUUUACUAUGUAGAUAAUAAUGAAAUAUUUUUUUUUAAUAAAAUAAGUUAUAAAAAAUAUAAUAAUUUAAUUAUUUAUAAAAUAUAUUUAUUUUAAUGUAAUUAAAAAAAAUUAAAAUUUAAAAAAAAAAAAAAAAAAGUUAAACUGGGUGGGAUGGGGUGGGGCAAGUAUGAAAAUUUCUCAUACCCAUCCCUUCCUGUUUAAUUUUUUAAAUGGGGCAGAGAUGAAAAUUAUUUUUAAUAAAUGGGACGAGGUUGGGAUGGGGGUGACCCGUCCCAUUGCCAUCCUUGCUAGAGUCUGGAAUCGUAAAAACUCAAGAUUACUCACAAUUCAUCUAGGAAUAGCCAAAGUUAAUGAUCUUGUUUCUACAUAGAGCAAGUGAUGAUUGAGGACCAUAUAUCUAGUCUGUCUAAUUAGUUAUGUGAUGCAAGGUUAAAAACCUUAUCUUAUUUCAUAACAUGAUUAUAUUUUAUAGAUCAUAAAAUCAAAUCUUUGUUUGGUAACUCAUAUUUAGUAAACCUUAAGAACCUAAAUUCCCCACGUGUUUGACAUAGAUUCGAAAUUUUGAACCCAAUUUUAAGUUGAGUUUGAUGAUAGUCGGACGUAUUGAUGACAGAUUUGACGGUCAUUACGUUCAAACCCGCUUUAAAAGACUCAAACCCACGUAACUUUGAAUUGGUUAAAAUAAUUUUAUAAAGUGAAACGAUUAAACUUCUUACUUUUUGGGAUUGGUGUUUGUACUUCCAAAUGAUGUUCCUAGUGAGUUUGGGGAAGAGAGUGAUAGGAUUUCAGAAUAAUUAUAAGCCUAAUUCUUGCAAAACAAUCAUCACAUUGGUCUUAAAACUUUGUGAUUUUCUCAAAGUAAAUAAAUAAUCAAGAAAACAAUCGUUAAAUUCUAACUUUUAAACCAUGUCUAGAAAAAUAAAGUUUAAACCAAAAAUCCUAAUAAUAUCAAAAUCUCAUCCUAAUUAUCAUUCAUCACCUGAUCAGAUGGUACUUAAAAAAUUGUUAAUGAAGGGAAAUGAACUUAAAACCUAAUAAGAAAUAUUAAUACAAUUUCACAAAUAAAAUAUUUUUAAUAAAGAUUAUAAAAAGAAGAUAUGAUGUAUAAUCAUUUUCAUAAAAACUUUUUAGUUCAAACAUCCUAAUACAUUCAAACUUUUCAAUAAAACAUUUUUAUAUUCAUGUCAAACAAUUUUAUAUUAAAUUCAAAUAAAUUGUAUUUAAAAUAUUUUACUCUGAUUAUCAAAUAUCAAAUGGUACUCAACUAUGUGAGACUUUACAAAUGGACGGCUACUCUCAAAUUUGUUCCUUUUAAGACAAAACUAAACACUACUAAUACUAGUAAUCUCUAACCAAACCUUUAGAUGUUGGGGUUCAAAUCAAUUGCAUUCUUCAUCAUAAAAUGUAAAUGUUAACUAUUAUAUCGUGUUAAUAUGGACUAAAAAGUCAAAUAUUAUAUCCAAUUGAUAAAGACCAAAAAGUCGAUUAUUAUAUUCCGUUACCUAUGACCAAACAAACCAAAGUCAAACACUUUGUUUUAUUUAUUCAAACUUAUAAAAACAUAAUAUUUUCACAUAUUUAUGUUAUAAACAAAAGAAAAGGUUUUAAUAUAUUUUUCAUGAAAAAUAUAUUUGCUUUAUGCAUAAAAACAAAAAUAACAUUUUACACAUUUCAAAAUAACAUGUCAAAAGAAAAUCAUUUUUUAUUAUAAAAUCCUCAUUAAUUUCCCUUACCUCGAAAAACAUUCAUAAUCCUUGAAGAAUUUAAUUCCAUAUAAACAAAUUUUCAUCUAAUAACAUAAGAAAAACAAUUAUUACUAUUAAUUAUUUGUCUAAAAUUAUAAGUUUGAUAAUCCUAAAAUUUUAUAUAUUAAUAUUAAUAAGUAUCAAUGAUAAUUUAAUUAAUUUAUUCCUUAUUAAAGUAAAAUUAAUAAAUUGCUAAUUUAUAUAAAACUUUUUUCUUAAAUUUGAUUCUAAAAAACAAAAAUACAUUACUAAUUUAAUUAAACUACAAUUUUUAUUUCAUUAAUUAAAUUUUAUUUAUUUAUUAACUUAACAUCUAUCCUCAUUAGCAUUAUUAUACCAUCAACUAACCCAACUCUCAACACCUACUUAAUAUUAUAUAUAAAGGUAGGACUCGCUUGCUUAUCUUUUUCUUAUUUUAUUUCUUUUCUUUCUUGCACAAACCACACUCAUGGCUACAUUCCAUUUUAUUUUAUUUUUUUAAUACACACUUACAAAAAUCACACUGUACACACUCGCCAAGGAACCAAAAGCUUUUUUUUUUUAAACACCCAAAUUCUUUUCUUUUUUUUCUUUUAUGUUGUCACAUAGGUACCCAUCCCAAAUCCAUAAAUCCUUUUUUUCUUUUUCUCAAUACCCUAAGUAUAUAUAUAUAUAUAUAUAUAUAUAUAUAUAUAUAUAUAUAUAUAAGAUAUAUUAUUUAUUUAUUAUUGUUUUAGAUUUACUAAAAAAAUAUUGAGAAUUUCCAAUCUCUAUCAAUAAAUCAACAUUUAUUCAUAAAUUUUCACUAUUUUUUAUUUAGAAUUUAAAUAAACAAAUUAUAUUCAAGAUUGAGAUUUUUUAAAGAAUAUUUAAGUGUUUAAAACUAAUUAACAAAUCUAAAAUACUAAUUUAAGGGUUAAAAUUCUACUUGAAAAACUAAUUUUCAAAUCCUAAACCUCCAAAUCUUCAAUCCUAUAUUGUCUUAUGUUUUUUUGAUCUUUUUCUAAUCUCAAUGUAAAAGGGUUUCUAUAUAAAGAAAUCAAAAAAAUCUAAUUUAUAUUUAAGGUUUUUAAUGCAAAAAGACCUUUCUAACCUUAUUAAAUUUAUUUAUUUUUUUCUUUUACUCUAAUUUAUGGUUUUACCCUUAACAAUAAAAUGGGGGGUGUUACAUAAGAAGCUUGUUAGAAAAAUUAGACUAAUCCAACCUAUGGUAAUCACCCUAAAGAGGGGGUGAAUAGGGUGAUAGUCUCUUUUUGCAAAUUUAAACUAUGUGAAAGUAAGAGACAAUUAUAUGUAAGUAUAUAAUAAACAAUAUAAAGACAAUUGCAUAUAAAUUAAAAGAGUAGGGAAGAGAGAAUGCAAACACAAGAUUUUAUAGUGGUUCGGCGCAACCCGGCCUACAUCCACUCUCCUCUAGCUUCAAUCCAAAGCUUGAAGUUCCACUAAUUCAAGGCUUCCAAACCAAGCCUUCAAGUAAUAUAAUUGGACUAUGGUUCCAAUUUACCCUCUUGGACUUUUGGCUCCAAGCACCCUUUACACUUCUCAAGAGAUAUCCCACUCUUGAACAACCCCUCAAGUGAUACCACACACUUGAGAAACUUCCUCUCAAAGAUUUACAAAUAAAUGAUCUUAUAAAAUCUUAGUACAAAAACUUUAAACUCAAAUGAUAUAAGAAAACUAGAAUUGAAUGGUGCACUAAAGAUAUACAAAUUUUAGAACAAUGGUGCACUCAAAAAUACUCUUCCAAAGCUCAAAUAUAUUCAAGAAAGGUUUGGGAAGGUUAUGUUUCUUAAACAAUAAAGAUUGGAGCAUUUUUAUAGAAGAAAAAAGUCAAACUAGUCGUUGGGGGUUCGACCGAUUAACUAGCCGUUAGCAUUUAAUGUUGGCAGGUGACUGUUGGACCUCGACCAGACCUCAACCGGUUGAGGUUCAACCUUGACCGGUUGAACAACCGUUCUAGAAGAAAGAGAAAAUUUUUUGCACCAUCGACCGGUUGAGCUGGGGGUCGACCAGUUAUUGUUCAUACCCUUGACCGAUUGAAUUGGGGGUUGACCGAUUACUAUUCAUGCCCUUGAUCGGUUGAGAUAGGGGUCGACUGGUUACUGUUCAUCCGGUUUAACCGGUUGAGCCGUUUUUGGUUCAACAACCAAAUUUUUCAACUUAAAACCUUUUAAACAAGUUUGAAACAACAUUUGACACAAGGUUUUAGUUGAAAAUAUGAAAUCAAAACAAAAUAAUUCUUGGAUGAUUUCGGUGCAUAUGUAAAGAAUGUAAUGCAUGGAAAUCCUAGUGCACCAACAAUCUUAUAAAAAGAUCUUAUGAAACUUGGGUCUUAAAAAACACUUCUCUUUGAGGUGGUCUUCUUCUUCAUGAUUUUUCUUUGGCUUGAUUUGUCUUUAUGAUUGCCACUUUGGAAAUCGUCUUACUUAAUUACACUUGAAAUAUAAUCAUUAGUUCUAAACUUUGUUUUGUUAUCAUCAAAACCGAGAUUGACCGAAUCUUGAUUUCACAAAGCCUAAUAAUAUUUUAAAUAAUUUGAAAGUAAAAAAUCGUGCUAGAACCAAAAAUUGUUUGAAAAUGAGUACAUCAAUUUCUCACCUAUGCACAUUCUUUUUAAAAUUUUCUUAUUAUGUGAAUGAGUUUCAAAUAAAAUGAUAUUUAAUGCACUGGAUUGGUUAGCAAGUCUAAUGAUUUUUUUUUAAUUAAUUUAGAACUUAAAAAUGGGCUCAAUUAAUUUCAAAAUUUCAACCAAAAUAGUUAAAAAUAUCCCAAAUGUAUGUGUAUUAAAAGAAACUAAAUUAUUCAUAUAACUAGAAAGAGUAAAUUCAUAACUUAUUUAAAAAUAAUAUUAACUAUUAACAUUUUCUAAAAAUAUUAUUAUUCAUUUAAAAUAUAUAUAUAUAUACUUGACAUUAUUAAAAUAUCAGCAUUCAUAUUUUAUAAUAUCCACUAUAUAAUUCUAUUUUUUUUUAAAUAUAUAUGAUUUUUAUUUUUAUUAUAAUGUUAGUUUCAUAUUUUAUGAAUAUUAUCUGUGUAUUAUUUAUUUAUUUCAUAUUGAUCACUUAGAAUUUAUAUGAUAUUGAUAUUCAUUUUAAAAUAAAUUUAGGUUUAUGUGGCUAUUUUUAAAAUACUAUAAUUCAUUAUUAGAAAGUUUAAUAUAUUAUUAGUUAUUUUUUUAUAGAAAAUGUGUUUUAAAAAAAUGUUUAAUAAAUAAAUAAAUAAAUAACCAUUUAGCAAGAGGGGUUUGUAUAGUGGGUGAGAAAAAUGAAAUAAAAUCCAUGACGCUAGGAGAUCUUUUUCAUCGCAAUGAAUCUAUUAUAUAAAGGAAAAAUGUGAAUGAACCAUUUGCCAUGUUAAUUUUUUUGAAAUAGUGUAAGGAAACAUAUUUUGGUUGUUACAUGUUUUCCAUAAGAAAAGUAUGUUUGGAAACUUUCAAAUUUUUUUUUAAUAAUAAUAAUAAUUUUUAUUUACAGUACUUUAUUUAUUUAUUUUUAUUUUUCAUAUUUAUAUAAUUAUUUUUUAAAACAAAUAAAAAUAAUUAAAAUAUGUUCUUAAAAAACUCUAUUUUUUAAAUAAGUUCUCAAAAAUAAUAUUUUAUAUUAAAAAUAAUAUUUUCUAACUGACAAGAAAAUUCCAAACUUAUUCGUAAGAAAUGUGGUUCAUGAUUGGUUGGUGGUUAGUCACUAUCCAUUUAAUUCAUAGAAUUAAACGUUUAUACACCUCAUCUACCAACAACGGUUGUAUCCUCAUCGUGUCAUGUGCAUACCAUUUAAAAUUCUCAAAUAGAAAAAUGAAAUGAAAAUUAAUAUAAUUUUGAUUUAUUAAUAUAUUUGGAUUAAUUGUUUUAUAGAAUGAGAAUAUGAAUAAAAAAUUUAUUAGUAUAGAAAUCAAAUUCCACUCUUAUGAGGAUUUUGAUUCAUUUAUACUAUGUCAUAGUGUUUUACCUUACGCUUGGGUUGAAUAGUAUAUAAUAUCCAUAUCUUAGAAUAUCAUAUCCCCUCCUUAUUCAACUUAUUUGCAAGAUUUGUAUUUGUCAUUCAAAAGUCAUCUUUUAACACGACAAUUAAUACAAAGCUAUUAUGUAGUCAUAUAUUUAUCACUUUUUUUUUUAUGUUGAUAGUGAAUUUAACUUUUUACGGUUGUAUCUUAUUUUUAUAUAAUUAUAUUAUAUUUAUUUUAUUUUUUAUAUUAAUUUUUAAAUGUGACUCACAAUUGGUUGGAGGGUUAGAGACUUCAUAAUAUUAGAAAAACAAGUUACAUCCUCAUCCUAUUGACAUGGUAACAACGUGUAAAUCUUUUUGUCUAUCACUCAAAAACCACAUUUUAGUGAGGCAACCUAUACAAAACCAUUGCGUAGUUAUAUAUUUGUCUCAACUUUUCUUUAAGUUGACAAUGAAUUUAAUUUUUUGCACAAAUAUCUUAUUUUUAUAUAAUUGUACUCCAUUUAUUCUUUUAUAUUAAUUUUCAAAUGUGGCUGAUAAUUGGUUGGUGGUUUAGUUAUUAUCAAUGGUUUAAACUAAUCCAAUUAUUGACUAGUGACCUUUUCGAUCCAAUUCACACCUUUAAGUCGUUUUAUCAUUGAAUUUAUAUUACUCAAAAACAAGUUACAUCCUCAUCCAGCUAACAUGCUAAUGACAUUUCAAGCUUUUCAUCAGUAACUCAAAAGCUAGAUUUUAGUAGGAGAGCCAAUAGAAAGCCAUUUUAUUGUCAUAUAUUCGUUUCAAUUUUUAUUUUUUAUAUUGACAAUGAAUUUAAGGUUUUUUUUUUUUGCCCUUUUAAUAUAUAUAUAUAUAUAUUCCAUUUCUCUCUUUCAUAUUAAUUUCCAAAUGUGAUCUGGUUGGUGGGUUAGUCAUUGUCUAUUAAAUUCAUAUCACCCACCAAAUUUAGUUGCAUCCUUAUUAGGCUAACGUGUCAAUAACAUGCUAACAACAUUUAAAAAUUUUCAGUAAGACAAUGAAUACAAAGUCAUCAUGUGUCAUACAUCUGUCUCAAUAUUUUUACAUUUUUUUUUUUUUGCACUUAUAUCUUAUUUUUAUAUUAUUAUAUUUCGUUUCUCUUUUUUGUAUUAAUUCUUAAAUGUGACCGAUAAUUGGUUGGUGGGUUAGUUGUUGUUCAUUGAAUUUAUAUCACCCAAAGAGCUAAGUUGCAUCCUCAUCUAUCUAACAUGCUAAUGACAUUUAAAACUUUUUAUUUGUUACUCAAAAGUCAUUUUUCUGUAAGACAACCAAUACGAAGCUAUCAUGUAAUCAUAUAUUCAUUUCAAAUUUUUUUAAUCUAUUUUUUAUUUUUGGUGUUGACAAUGAAUUUAAUUUGUUACACAUAUAUUAUUUUUAUAUAAUAAUAUUUCAUUUCCUUCUUAUAUAUUCAUUUUCAAUGAUGACCCAUAAUUGGUUGGUAGAUUAUUCAUUAUUCAUAUAAUUAAUAUCACUAAAAAAUAACUUGAAUCAUCAUCUAGUUCAUAUAUUAAACCACAUUUAUUAUUUACAUUUUUCAACCAAUUUAAUUUGUUGAUAAUAACGACGGUCCAAAUUUAUGAGAUAGUCUGUUGUUAAAAAAAUUUUAUUGGUAACGGAAAAUUCUCAUCGAUAGACUUUUGUCAACACAUUUUUCCCUAACUAUCAUGUAUUGAGAUUAUCCAUUGAUAAAUGUUUAUUCAGAUAGUAUAUAUUAAUGAAGAAAAGUAAAAAAUUUUGUAAUGUGUUAACAAUGAGUUUAAUUUUUUGCACUAAUUAAUAUUUUAUUUUUAUAUAGUUAUAUUUCAUUAAUUUUUUUUUAUAUUAAUUUUCAAAUGUGGAUAAUUUUUCGGUGGAUUAGUCAUUGUUCAUUGAAUUACAUCGGUUCCAACAUGGUAGAAGCCAACUAUAACAAAAGUUGUAUCAUCAAAUGAAGUUCAUUUAAACCAGUUUAUCUCAAUUCAAUUUAUCAUUAAGCCAGUCUAUUUUUGGGGUUUUGUUUUGUGUUGCACCAUAAUGCAAUUAAGUUGUUUGAUGAGAAGUCUAGCCAAAUUUGACAUCGGUUGACCCAUGCAAGUUGUAUGAUGAAAACCCAUCUAUUUGUACCAUGCAUGGAAAAAAAAACAUACAUGGCAUUAUUAAAUUUCAGACUAUAAUGUAAUGCCAUGAUCAAAAGGGUCGAAAAUACGAGAAUAAUUAAACUUAGGAAGUUAAAAUGAUAGCAAAAUUUUAAGCACAUUAAUGUGGUCUUCUUGAGCAGUAAAGCAAUUAUAGUAAUUAUUAAUCUUCAUCUAAUUAAUCAAGUAAAAUAAUUAUCAUUAAUUAUAAUAAUUCAUUUUUUUAUUGUGUAGAUAUUAUCUACUUUACUACGAAUGCGCAUCUACGGCUUUUUGUCUUAUUGAUGAGUUAGGUAAUGUUUGCUCACCCAUUUCAGCCCUUUGCAGUGCCUGUGUCCAUGCUUUUAAUGCUACGUCCGUAUUUCCAUUUAUCAGCUUAGGUUAGAUAAAAAAUGCAGAAGGUAAAAUCAGACAUAAUAGAAAUUAGGGGCUGUAUGUCAUAUAUUUGUGCGCGAAUUUGGGAUUGGGUUGAAGUAAAAAAGUCAAAAUGAAAUUACAAUAAGAGUACGGUAAAGGGUUAACGUUGGGACACCAGUACUGAUGUACACUUCAAGGAAGUAGGCCAUGGCAUGUCAUGCCACCUGGAACAAAAUAAGGGGUUCUACAGAUUCUCUUAUCGGAAUCAUUUGAGAUAUAGGAUGGAUGCAUAGAAGGGAAGGAGACGACUCCUCUAAAACUUGUGUUUGUGUGUAGGUGAGAAGUUGGGAUUCCCUGAUCAAUUAAACAUGGCUGAGGAGAGGGAUCCAGUAGAGUUGGGCAUGGCACUCGGCGCAGAUUCGAACAUGAAAGAAGACAGCGUAACAGCUAAGAAGAGGGCAAAACGGUGGGCAAUCACCGCAGAAGCGAGCAUGGAAAGAGAGAAGGGGAUGCUUGAUCAAGAUGAAGAUGACUUGUGUGUAGGUGAGAGGUUGGGAUUCUCCGAUCAAUCAGACAGGGCUAAGGAGAGGGAUCUAGUAGAGUUGGGCAUGGCACUCGGCGCAGAUCCAAACAUGAAAGAAGAUAAGGAAACAAGUAAGAAGUGGAGGGCAGAUUCGACACUGAUCAGCUCAGAUUCGACGAUGGAAGAAAACCCUGCACCGCCUGAGGUGUGGGUGCCAGAAACCUCGCCAAUCUUCGCAGAUACUAAGAUGGCAAUAGACAUCAGCUCAUAUUUCACAAUGAAAGAAUGCCGUGCAUCGCCGUGGGCGCGAGAAUCCAUCAUGUUAGGCAUGCCAAUCACCGCAGAAGCGAGCAUGGAAAGAGAGAAGGGGAUGCUUGAUGAAGAUGAAGAUGAAGAUGAAGAUGAAGAUGAUUUGUGUGUAGGCAUGCCAAUCUCCGCAGAUGCGAACAUGGAAAUAGACAGGGAAACGCAUCUUGUAAGAAAUAUAAGUGCUCCUUCCACACACGGACCCCACGCCCCCGCUGAUGAAGAUGAAGAUGCGGAGCAUAAGAAAUUAAUGGACCGCCGCAUGCACGCGCUAGCGACCCAAGGAAAUGUUGAUGGCUUUAUUAAAAUUUUAGGCUCGAUAUCCUCCGAACAGAACCCACUUCUCUGCCAAGUUAGUCCCCGGAAAAACACAUGCCUCCACAUAGCAGCAAGCUUUGGACACCAUGAUCUUGCCAAGUACAUCGUGAAAGAGUGUCCAGAUCUUAUAAAAAAUAAAAACUCCAAAGACGACACGGCACUUCAUAUUGCUGCUAGAAAAAGGAAUUUAUCUUUCGUUAAGAUUGUCAUGGAUUCAUGCCCUUCUGGAAGUGGCGCAUCCCAAGAUGUAGAGAAGGCUGAGCCUUCAUUGCUGGGAAUUGGUAACAAAGAAGGAAAUACAGUGUUGCAUGAGGCACUGAUAAACCGUUGCAAACAAGAAGAGGUGGUGGAGAUCCUUAUUAAGGCAGAUCCCCAAGUGGCUUAUUAUCCGAAUAAGGAGGGUAAGUCACCAUUGUAUCUAGCUGCAGAAUCACACUACUUCCAUGUCGUAGAGGCUAUAGGAAACUCUGAAGUUGAGGAGCGCAUGAAGAACAGAGACCGCAAAGCAGUCCAUGGUGCCAUUAUGGGAAAGAAUAAGGGUAUUUCCCGCCUCCUUCUCUCUCUCUCUCUAUUAAAUUUUCUUCUUCCUCUUCAAACUUAAAAAGCAUUGUUUGGCUUAAAUAAUAUGUUCCUUCUAACUAUAGAAGAAGUCUACUGGGCUUUUCUCAGCUUUUGCUUCAAUAUUCCUUGUUCCUAAAAAAUCAAUUUUUUUUAUUAAUUUAUGGGAGAUCCACACUCUUCUUUCCCAACCCAAACCCCGUCGUUGCAAAUAUUCUUCAUCUUUGUUUUCUGAAUCCUUUUUUGUCAUCUUCUUAUUCUUCUUCAAAACUCCACUCCUAAUUAAUUCUUUAUUUUCUUUUCUUUUCUAAAUCACAAAAAUUUAAAAUUAACUAUAAAAAAGAAUUGCAGUUGCAUAUGGCUUCAUUGUGUGCAUAUGGGAUGGUUUAAAUAGAGGGGGUAAAAAGGGCUGUAAGAGGGAAGAACAAUUGCCUGUAUAGUUUGGGGUUGACUUUAAGUGACCAUUUAAGAUUUGAUUUCGAGCUUAAGGUUAGAGUUAGGAUUUUUCUUUUCCCUUUUUUUUCUUUAUGUUUUAUGUUUCGUAUAGAUGCGAUGAAGUAGAAUGUAUCCUACACAUUUGAAAGAAACACAAAUUAUAAAUGAUGCAAUGAUGUUCUAUUUUUCCCCUUUUAACUAUUGCAAUAUUAGUAAGAGUAGGGAUGGGAAUGAGACAAGUUUUUACAGAAACCACCCCAUUGAGUUUGAGAUAAAUUUGAGAUUUUUUUUAAAAAAUUAAAUGGAGCCAGAUGGGGUGGGACAUGUAUGAGGACGUUUAAAUUUCUUUUAAUGAGAUGGGACCAAGAAAUAUUUUGAAUAAAUGAGAUCGGGGUUGGGAUAGAGGUAACCGUCCCAAGCCCACCCCAUUUCAAUUCCUAAUUAAGAGGAUGAUAAGGCAAAUAACAAAAUUUACAUAAUUUUUAAGAUCUAAAGAAGAACUUAUAAUUAAAGGAAGCUUUUAAAAGGAUGGGCACCCCAUGUGGUACAACCUCACACCAAAUUGAUACUGUUUUGUUGAAUUAUAGAUAAUAAAAUAAUCAAUUAAAAAAAACUCUCUUUUUUAUUUUUAUAUUAAUUUUUCCUUCCUUGUUUUAAUUAUCUAAUAAUUGAACCCUUUCCAAAAAAAAUAAAAAUAAAUAGCAAUAGUAGCAAUUACUAGUUUACUAUGAAUUUAUCUUAAUUUUAUUUUUUAUAUGUUCAUAUUUUUUAUGUAAUUUUAAUUAUUAAUGACUUGCACUCAUAUAAUAAUAUAUUUAUUAGAAAAAGGUUGUCAUAUAAAAUUUUUCUUAUAUAUGAUGACAAAAUGCCAGAUAUGUUGGAAAAAAUACUGACCAUGAAGCUCGGCCACCAAAAAGACAACCAUGGAAGGACUCCACUUCAUUGUGCAGCAUCCAUUGGAUAUCUCGAAGGAGUUCAAAUGCUGUUAGACCAAUCUAACUUGGAUCCAUAUCAAACGGACUCUGAUGGCUUCUGUCCCAUCCAUGUUGCAUCAAUGAGAGGCAAUGUGGACAUUGUCGACAAGUUGCUCCAGGUCUCCUCUGACUCAAUAGAGUUACUAAGCAAACGCGGUGAGAACAUUCUUCAUGUGGCAGCCAAGUAUGGUAAAGACAAUGUAGUCAAUUUUGUGCUCAAAGAAGAAAGGCUUGAGAACUUUAUAAAUGAGAAGGACAAUGUUGGAAACACGCCACUGCAUUUGGCAACCAAGCAUAGACAUCCCAAGGUCGUAAGCUCUUUAACAUGGGAUAAAAGAGUUGAUGUGAAUCUUGUGAAUGAUUUAGGCCAGACUGCUUUGGACAUUGUAUUAUCAGUGGAGCCUCCAACUACAUUUGACCAGGUAUAUCUAUAUGGUGAUUUGCAUCUUGUUUUCUAAAUGAUGGGUCCUAUUAGUAGUCUCACCCUUCAACUGCAUGCCAUGAGUAAGAAAUUAGAAUGCCUCAUCCAUGCAUUGUUACAGUGCUAUGGCAUUUUCCUUCUCAGAUGCAUGCAUGCAAUUAAAUUAUUAAAAGGAUCGAUCAGGACAACAUAGUUUGUUUUCCUUUCCUAGAAGGACCGACUAAUAUUAAUAAGAACUAGAUCAACACUUCAACUCAAGCCACUGACCCCUGGUUGAAGGUCAAUUUAAUUGAGCCCAUAAUAUCCUAAAAGUCAAGAAAAUUAUGGAGCCUAACUCAAUCACCAUCACCCUCACCAAGAUUAGAGCGACUCAACCAAGGUUAGGCUAGGUUUCUCUAGCAAGUGCAUAUACUCUUGAUGUCGGCAAAGACUUGUGGGAAUAAUUUUUUGCAUCAUACUAAAAAGUUUUCAGUGUAGAGAACUGCUAUAUCAUGUGCGCUUGUGGUUGCUCUCUUUGCUGCUUCACAUUGCUUAAUUUCAUACUUCUAGUGGGUGUUCAUUGAAUUUACAGGGAAAAGAGAAUGGCUUCCUAACAAAAUAUUACGAAAUUAUAGUCUACUUUUAGUUAUUAUUAGGACACAUACAUUUUAUGUUCUUUCUUUCUCACGAUUACAUUAACAGCAACAUCUUUUUCUGUACCACGCAGGCACUAAUUUGGACAACACUCAAAUCUGCUGGUGCACGACCAGCGGGAAAUUCAAAGUUCCCACCCAGUAGAUGUUGUAAACAGUAUUCUGAAUCACCUAAUACGGACAAGUACAAGGACAGGGUAAACACUCUUUUGUUGGUUUCGACCCUUGUUGCCACAGUGACAUUUGCUGCUGGUUUUACCAUGCCAGGUGGCUACAACAGCUCCGACCCAAAUGUCGGCAUGGCUGCCUUGCUGAUGAGAAAUAUGUUCCAUAUGUUCGUCAUCUGCAAUACCACUGCUAUGUAUACCUCCAUCCUCGCGGCAAUCAUCCUCAUCUGGGCACAGUUAGGUGAUCUCAAUUUGAUGGAUACUGCCCUCAGAUUUGCAUUGCCAUUCUUGGGGUUGGCCCUUACUGCGAUGUCCUUAGGCUUCAUGGCAGGUGUUUACCUGGUGGUCAGUAAUCUUCAUUGGCUUGCAAUUGUUGUCGUCAUUAUUGGAAUCAUCUGCCUUGUCGGUCUCCUAGUAUCCUUUUUUUUACUUUUCCUCCCAAGUAAGUCUACUAAUAGUAUCCUUAGGCACAUCUCCUAUUAUCCGUUUCUUAUAUUGGUAUGGGCAUCUAAAAGCCCCGAAAUGAAACGGGAAGAUUAGCUCGUCCUGUUGAUGAUGUCUGCUAGCUCCAUCUUCCCCUGUGUUUGUUGCUUCUUUCAGCAUUAUCUCGAUGACUUGGUAGACAAAGUAUGUUAUGUAUAAAUGCUUAGUGUGAUAUAUUGAUGGUGUUGUACAUGACCAUUUCUUAUAUAAAUCUAUGGUUUUUGGAUCUAUAAUUAGGUAGUUCUAUAUAUAUUUCAAUAAAUACUCCAUUCAUACAUAAAUAACGUGAAUUUGUUAUUAAUAGGUUCAGUUUAAUUUAUUGAUUGAAAUUUGAAUUUUCAAUUGUAUUUUUUAAACUUUCUUAAUUAUUAUUCUUAUGAGAAUUUUGGGUAAAGUUUUGUUUUCAAAUCCGGGUUACAUCUUCUACGCUAGGAUUCAUUGGGAAGGGGAAAAGCUUUUAAUUUUGGAAAAAAAAAAAAAAAAUUGGCUUUUGAGUUCCAAAGUAUUUUUAAAAAUUAAGGAGUUUAAUAAUUUUUUUAAAAUAAUUUAAAAAUAAAAUAUCGAGGGAGUUAACACUAGAACCAAAAAUUGGUUGAAAAAGACUAUAUUAAUCUCUAGUUUAUGCACAAUUAUAUUUUUCAUUAUAUUUUAUUAUAUUAUUAAUAUUCAUAUUUUAUUAAAAAUUAUUUAGUUUGAAUUUAUUUAUAAUUAAAAAAUUCUUUUUAUUUUUAAUAAGACACAAAUUAAAUUUAACUUAUAUUAUAUAAAUUAAAUUUAUAAUUUGUGAUUUUUACAAAAUAAAAAUAAAAAUUAUUUUUAGAAACAACUAAUUUAAUUCUUAUAAUCAUUUAAGUUAUCUAAAUAUAGAAAUAAAUGAGAAAAUAAUGGAGAUCUUCAUUUCCAUUCCUGUUUUCCGCGUAGCAAACAGUCCCUCAUCUUAAUUAAUAACAUAACAUGAAUUAUAUAUUUGAUGGACGGUAAAAUCAACCCUUUGUUUGGUAACUCAUAUUGUAGUAAACCCUAAGUUGAGUUUGAUGAUAGUCGGACGUAUUGACGACGGAUUUGACGGACAUAACGUUCAAACCCGCUCAAAGACUCAAACCCACAGAACUUCACAACUGAUUAAAAUAAUUUUAUAAACCAAAAUGAUCAAACUUUGUAGUUUCUGGGAUUGGUGUUGAUGCUUCCAAAUAGGUUCCAAGAUGUUCCCAGUGAGUUUGGAAAAGAGAGAAGUGGAUUCCUUGAGCUUCUCAAAACAUUUUCUUAGAAAAUGUCAAACGCUUGGUCUCAAAAUCUAACCCGUAUGAUUCAAACACACCCAUGAAGACUUUUCUUUUGAAUAUUUCAAACUCCAGCAAACGAGUAAGAUAUUUGAGUUGCCGUGCUUCAUAUCCAUUCCGUGUCUGCUGGAAGUCCUAUGUGAUGUAAGUUGGACUAUCAAAUGAAUUUCUUUUGAGUAUCAAAUUUUUUAUUCAACUUAUCAUAUGUAUGUAAUGCAUAGGUUCUUCUCUCACAUAUUGACUUGGCCCUUACUUCCAUCCCAAGCAAGAGAGUGCAGGUAUCUCAUGGCCGGCAGUGGACUAAUGAUAUAUGAACUCAUUUUAAAUUGGGUCUGACUAACUUGGCCACAGGGGUUGUUACCUUGAAAGGACUUGAGUGGGGUUCAUGUUUAAGGUGGUGUUUGUUUUUUUGGUUUUUUGCUGAAAGUAAUUUAAUUUUAGAAUUUAAGUCGUUUGUUUUUCUAAUUUUUCAUAACUUAUUAUAAACUUUUUACUAAAUAAAAAAAAUUAAAAUAUGUAGCUUUUUUUAAAUAGAAAAAAUAACAUAUUAGUUUUUUUUACUUUUUAAUACUUGAUAGAAAUAAAAUAUUACAAAAACAAAUAACCUAAUAUUUAACAUUAUUAAGUAUUAAGGUUCUAUUUAGAAUUAAGUAAAAAAACAAACACCACCUGAGUCUUUCUUUUUUAAUCUAGGUAUGUACUGUGUGUGCUCUCUUCUUGUUUUAGUCGAAUUCAAAGAAUAGUUGUUUCUUCCUAGUCUUGGUAAGUGGUUGCUUAAGGGUAGCAUAUUAAGAUUUUUAUUAUUUUUAUUUUCUGUUUUUGACUUAGUGCCUUCUCAAGAUUUUGAAUUGUCAAAAAAGCUGGUUAUAUUGUAUAAACAAUCAUCAUAGUAUUAGAAUUAGCAUAUAUAAUUUGGUAUUGAUGUGCAUGUUCUCUUCCUCUGUAUGACCUAUCCUUUGCGAUGAAGUAUUGGACUGGUUUCUUUGUUGCCAUUAUUUCUUUUUUCUUUUAAACUUCUUAAACCAACAUAAAUACAAGCACAGCUAACGGAUUUGAUUAGGCAAGUCAACUACAAUAGGAGAUAUUAUGAGACAAGACGAUUUAAUGAUGAAUUUUGAGAGGCUAAGAAAGCAGGGGAGGGGAGAAAGAUGGAAGACAGGGAAACAAAGGCAAAAACAACCCAAGAAGCAAGCCAUCUUGGCAAUCUCUGAGCAUAAGGAUGCCAAAUUGUUGGAGGACUAUGUGACAGCUAGUUCCAUGGAUCCUGAUUUGUACAGACCUACGAUACAAGGAGACAUUCUUGAAUUCAUAAAAGCCGUGGAACAAGGACCAGACAAUAGACACGCUGGUGUACCUGCUGCAUCUUGUAUCCAAGUGACCCCUCAGAAGAACACAGUUCUUCACCUAGCAACGAUCUUUGGACAUGACGAGAUUGUGAAACUCAUUUGUAAGGACUUGCCCUUUCUUGUCAUGGAAAGAAAUUGCAGAGGUGACACUGCACUUCACAUUGCAGCCAGAGCUGGCAAUUCACUGCUAGUGAAUUUGUUGAUUAAUUCAACAGAGGGGGUUUUGGGUGUGAAGAAUGAGACGGGUAAUACCGCAUUGCAUAAGGCAUUGCAACAUCGUCAUGAAGAGGUGGCCUGGAAUAUAAUUAACAAAGACAGAAAUAUGUCUUGUUCUGUCAAUAAGGAAGGAAAAUCUUUGUCGUAUUUGGCCGCAGAAGCAGGAUAUGCAAAUCUUGUUAGGUUUAUAAUGGAAAAUCCUGCAGGAAACUACAGCAUUGAAGGAGAGCUCGAGAACAAACCAUCUGUGAAAGCUGCCAUUCUUGGGAAGAACAUAGGUAAAUGAAAUUCUCUCCUCUAAUCUCCCUUUUUUUUCCCUUAAUUGGUAUGCUUGUCUUUCAAUUUCAGACUUCCAAGAGCCUGCACUUGGAUUGGAAAUUUUUAAGUGACUGCACUUUCACACUUAGUUUUUUCCUACAAAAAGCCCUGCAACUACUAUAAACCACCCAAUUCUCUGCACCUGUGAAUCAGAAAACUUUACCCAAACUAUAUUGCAUCCAAUUGUCACCAUUAAAAGGUAAUGAUAUCAUGGCACAUAAGAGCAUUCCCAUUUUUCUGGAAGUUGGAAGACCUCAAUUAUUUCUUGCUUAAUUAAUUGGUGAUAUUCCUGUGCUUCCAUGUUUGAAUUAGUGUGUCCAUUGUAAUCUCCUUCCAUGGAUUUCCUUAGGUGUGGCCACCCAUCAAGAAGAGAUCAGGAAUAGUCCAGAAAUAUUACUGUCUUAUUCUAAUUACAUGAGUAUCUAGCAGUAAAGAAAUAUAUCUGUAGUAGCUGAUUUUUUUAGAUGGGUCCUCUAGUAGCCGAUCGACCUUUUUUCUUUACAAGAAGGCUUCUAUUGUGACUUGUGAAGACAAUGAUAAAUUGACAAUAUUUCUAAUUAUCAUUUGGAUUUAGGAGCAUAUUUUACCAUAUAUUUUGUUCUCACGCGUGGCAAGAUUUUCAUUUAAUGUGUUAUCAUCAGUCCUGUGAGCACCAAAAAAUUCGCUUAAAUAUGGUUCACACUUCUUUGUUUGUUUGUUUCCAUUUUUUUGUUUUGGGCGACGUUAGAUGUUCUCAAGAUAACGUGGGAAAGAGAUCAAUCAUCCUUCAAUUUAAGAUGUGAAGAAGGGAGGAACCCUCUUCACUAUGCAGCAUCUAUUGGUUUUGUUGAAGGAAUCAAUUACUUUGUAGACAAAUACUGUAUCGCUGCUUACCAAGGGGACAAAGAUGACCUCUCUCCUAUUCAUAUAGCAGCCAUCAAAGGUCAUUUCCACAUAAUUCAAGAGAUGCUUCAGCAUUGCCCAGAUUUGAUGGAGCUGCUCACUUGCAAAGGCCAGAAUACCCUUCAUGUCGCAGCAAAGAGUGGAAGAGCUGAAGCAGUUAGUUAUAUGCUUAAAAAAAUGCCGGAGCUUGAGAAGCUUAUAAAUGAGAAAGAUAAGGAUGGAAACACACCUUUACAUUUAGCCACUAUUUUUGAGCAUCCAAAGGUCGUAAGAGCUCUAACAUGGGAUAAGAGAGUUAACCUAAAGGCAGAGAACAAUGGAAGGUUGACAGCACUUGACAUUGCUGAUGAGUACAUGGACACAAUGGUUUCUUUUCGCAAGGUGUGCUUUACAAACUAUUUGUUAGGGGCUAAUCAUCUCAUUUUACUUGUUUAUAUUUAUCAUAUUAUUUGAAAACAACAAACGUUUUUUUAAAGAAUAUAAACUUUUAAAUUAUGUCUUCCCUAAACAAAAACUUGGUCAUUUCUUAAUUUGUUCGAGAAUCAAGGUUUAUUUUCUAUUCUUGUGGGCUAGUGAAUUGUUUUUUUUAAGUGUUAAGUGUUACAAUAAUCCCACAUCAGAAGUUGGAGAGAAAAAAACACCCCCUUACGCAGCGUGCAAAUCGAUCAAGAUCAAGGCAAAAAGAGUAUAUAAUUUUGACAUUAAAUCCAAAAUUGAAAAAGGGCUCACGUGGCAAAAGUUCAAUAGUGAAAAAAAUGAAGCUAAGAAUAAAAGUAAAUAAAAGUUAAAGCUAAUAAGGUAAGCACAAUUCAUAGAGUAUUGAAGAAAAUGAAAGUAAGAAUAAAGGUAAUCGAAAGUUAAAACCAACAAGGUAAGCACAAUCCAUGGAGUAUAGAAGAAAAUGAAGUUAAGAAUAAGGGUAAUUGAAAGUCAAAUCAUAACAUCUUUUAUUAACUUAGACAUUUACUUGACCAAAGCAAAAGCCAUUAGAUGCUUGUCUUGUAAUGCAAUCUUGCCCUUGGUUCAAUUCACAGCCUUAAAUGAUUCACUGUCAUCCAAUAGAUGGAAAUGGUGAUCUUAAUCGGUUUUUAAAAAUAAAUAAUUGUUUUUGUAUAAUUAAAAAUUAAUUAGGAUUAAAGAUUAAAAAAUAAGACUAAAGUUUAAAUUUUGUUUGAAUUUUAAAAUUUAGAAAUAUUAAAAAUUUAGAAAUUUAAAAAUAAAAAAAUGUAAAAUCAGAAAGGAUUGAAAUUAGGAUCUGUAUAUGAUAUAUUUGUGCGUCGGUAUAGAAGAUUGGGAUUUUGGGAUUGGAUUGAAGUAGAAAAUUCAAAAUGAAAUUACAAUAAGAAUACGGUAAAGGGAUAACGUUGGGACACCACUACUGGUGUACACUUCCAAGGCUGGAGGUAAAAGAAGGCCAUGCCAUGUCAUGCCACCUGGAACAAAAUAAGAGGUUCUACAGAUUCUCUUAUCGGAAUCAUUUGAAAUAUAGGAUGGAUGCAUGGAAGAAAAGGAGACUCCUCUAAAACUUGUGUAAACUUGUGUUUGUGUGUAGGUGAGAGGUUGGGACUCUCCGAUCAAUAAGGAACUCGGAGCAGAUUCGAACAAGGAAGAAGGCGGGGAAGGGCAGAUGGCACCACGCAUGACAUUCUCCGCAGAUGUGGACAUGGAUAGAGAUAGAAGUGCUCCUUACAGCUAUAAACACAUUGUCCCUGCAAUCUCCGCAGAUAGAAGUGCUCCUUCCACACAUGUGGGCAUGGCUAGAGAUAGAAGUGCUCCUUCCACACAUGUGGGCAUGGCUAGAGAUAGAAGUGCUCCUUCCACACAUGUGGGCAUGGCUAGAGAUAGAAGUGCUCCUUCCACACAUGAACUCUACGCCCCUGCUCCGGAGGAGAGGCUAGCAUCCUUUAUACGCUUCGCAUUCUUAGUAUAUAGGGAAAUUGAAGAAAAUGAGAAGAUGCUUCAUCAAGGAAGUGGAAGUGCUCCUCCCACACAAGAAGUCGUCGCUCCCGCCGAUGAAGAUGAAGAUGUGGAGCAGGAUAGAUUAAUGGACAGCCGCAUGUACAUGCAGGCGACCCGAGGACGUGUUGAUGAAUUUAUUCAAAUUUUAGAAUCGAUAUCCUCUGAAAAGGAACUUCAAAGCUCAGAAAUCCUCUCCCAAGUUAGCCCCCGGAACAACACAUGCCUCCACAUAGCAGUAAGAUUUGGACACCAUGAGCAUGCCGAGUACAUCGUGAAAGAGUGUCCAGACCUUAUCAAAAAGACAAACUCCACAGGCGACACUGCACUUCAUAUUGCUGCUAGAAAAAAGGAUUUAUCUUUCGUUAAGUUUGCCAUGGAUUCAUGUCCUUCUGGAAGUGGCGCAUCCCGAGAUGUAGAGAAGGCUGAGCAUCCAUUGCUGAUAAUUGUUAACAAAGAAGGAAAUACAGUGUUGCAUGAGGCACUGAUAAACCGUUGCAAACAAGAAGAGGUGGUGGAGAUCCUUAUUAAGGCAGAUCCCCAAGUGGCUUAUUAUCCGAAUAAGGAGGGAAAGUCGCUAUUGUUUCUAGCUGCAGAAGCACACUACUUCCAUGUCGUCGAGGCUAUAGGAAAACCUAAAGUUGAGAAGCACAAGAACAUUAACAGAGACCGCGAAGCCAAGUCGGCAGUCCAUGGUGCCAUUCUGGGAAAGAAUAAAGGUAUGACCCGCCCCAUUCUCAAUCUCCAUUUAAUUCUCCUGCUCUUCUUCUUCUUCUUCAAACCUAAAAAACACCAUUUCCAAUAAAAUCUUAAACCUAUAUUUGAUUCUCAUAGUUGAAAAAAAAAUUAUUAAGGGAAGUGAUUUUCUAAUAUGCUGUUGUACCAUGAAAAACAUGAAAGAAAGUGAAAUAUAAUUAAAAUUAAUAAGAAAUUUAUAUCAUUUAAAAUUAUUUAAUUUUUAUAUAAAAUAGUUAAAUAAGUAAAAUGAAUUUAAAGUAAUAUAUAAAAAUAAUUUAUUAACUUAAAUUUUUUUUCUCUCUUUUUUUAAUUUUUCUUCUUUAUUUUCUGUUUUCACAUAUUCCCUCAAACUUUCGGACCAAACAUAACCUAAAUGAUCACUUGAAGUCAAUCCCAAACUAUCCAAACAAUUCUUCUUUCUUUGCUCUUUUUCUUAUAGCCCUUUUUGCCUCCCCUUUAUUUAAACCAGCCAAUAUGCACGCAACAAAGCCACAACAGCAAAUUUUCUUUAGUUAAUUUUAAAAUUUUGUGAUUUAGAAAAGAAAAUUAAGAAUUAGGAGCUAGUGGGGUUUUGAAGAAGAAUAAGAAGAUGACAAACUAGGAUUAGGAUUUUGAAAACAAAGAUGAAGAAUAUUAUUUACAAGGACGGGUUUGGGCCGGGAAGAGGAGUUAUAAACAUUAUUGAUCUCCCAUAAAUUAAUAAAAAUUUUAAUUUUUUAGGAACGAGGAAUAUCGAAGCAAAAGCUGAAAAAAAAAAAAAAAAAAGCCAAUUUACUUUUUCUAUAAUUAGUUCAACAGAAAAACAUAAAUGUGUUCUCAUUUUAAUUUCUUUUAUAUAUGAUGAAAAAAUGCCAGAGAUGUUGGAAAAAAUACUAGCCCUGAAGAUCGUCCACCAAAGAGAUGAACAUGGAAGGACUCCACUUCAUUAUGCGGCAUCGAUUGGAUACCUUGAAGGAGUUCAAACGCUGUUAGCUAAAGACCAAUCUAACUUCGAUCGAUAUCAUAGGGACGACGAAGGCUUCUUACCCAUCCAUGUUGCAUCAAUGAGAGGCUAUGUAGACAUCGUCAAAGAGUUGCUCCAGGUCUCCUCUGACUCGAUAGAAUUGCUUAGCAAACACGGUGAGAACAUUCUUCAUGUGGCAGCCAAGUAUGGUAAAGAUAAUGUAGUCGAUUUUCUGCUGAAAAAAAAAGGGCACGAGAACCUUAUAAAUGAGAAGGACAAAGAAGGAAACACGCCACUGCAUUUGGCUACCACGUAUGCACAUCCUAAGGUCGUAAACUAUUUAACAUGGGAUAAAAGAGUUGAUGUGAAUCUUGUGAAUAAUGAAGGCCAGACUGCUUUCGACAUUGCUGUAUCAGUGGAGCAUCCAACUUCAUUGCACCAGGUAUAUAUGACGAUUUGCAUCUUGUUUUCUGAAUUAAGGGUACUACUAUUGGUUUCACCUUGAACUGCAUGCAUUGUUAAUGCUAUGGCAUUUUCCUUCUUAGAUGCAAGCAUGUGAAUUAUUAAAAGGAUCAAUCAGGACAACAUAGUUUGUAUUUCUUUCCUAGAAGGACCGACUGAUAUUAAUAAAACCUAGUUCAACUAAAAGAAGAUCAAUUUGAUCCCAUGAUAUCCUAAAAGUCAAGAAAAUUAUGGAGCCUAACUCAAUCACCAUCACCCUCGCCCAGAUUAGAGCGGCUCAACCAAGGUUAGGCUAGGUUUCUCCAGCAAGUGCAUAUACUCUUGAUGCCGGCAAAGACCUAUUGGAAUAAUUUUUUGCAUCAUACUAAAAGGUUUUCAGUGUAGAGAACUGCUAUAUCAUGUGCGCUUGUGGUUGCUCUCUUGCUGCUUCACGUUGCUUAAUUUCAUACUUCUUGUGGGUGUUCAUUGAAUUUAUAGGGAAAAGAGAAUGGCUACCCAACAAAAUAUUUCGAAACCCAACUCAUGGAAUUAUAGUCUACUUAUACUUUCUAUAGUUAUUAUUACGACGCAUACAUUUGAUUUUCUUUCUUUCUCACGAUUACAUUAACAGCAACAUUUUUAUCUCUACCACGCAGAGACUAAUUUGGACAGCACUCAAGUCUACUGGUGCACGACGAGCCGGAAAUUCAAAGGUCCCACCAAAACCGUCUAAAUCACCUAAUACGGACGAGUACAAGGACAGGGUAAACACUCUUUUGUUGGUUUCGACCCUUGUUGCCACCGUGACAUUUGCUGCUGGUUUUACCGUGCCAGGAGGCUACAACAGCUCUGAUCCAAAUGCCGGCGUGGCUAUCUUUCUGAUGAGAAAUAUGUUCCAAAUGUUCGUCAUCUGCAAUACCAUUGCUAUGUAUACCUCCAUCCUCGCGGCAAUCAUCCUCAUCUGGGCACAGUUAGGUGAUCUCAAUUUGAUGGAUCCUGCCUUCAGAUUUGCAUUGCCAUUAUUGGGGCUGGCCCUUUAUGCAAUGUCCUUCGGCUUCAUGGCAGGUGUUUCCUUGGUGGUCAGUAAUCUUCAUUGGCUUGCAAUUGUUGUCUUCAUUAUUGGAAUCAUCUGCCUUGUCAGUCUCUCAGUACCCUUUCUUUUACUCUUCCUCCCAAGUAAGUCUACUAAUCGUAUCCUUAGGUACAUCUCCUAUUAUCCGUUCCUUUUACUGGUAUGGGCAUCUGAAAGCCCCAAAAUCAAACAGGAAGAUUAGCUCGCCCUGUUGAUGAUGUAUGCUAGCUCCAUCUUCUCCUAUGUUUGUUGCUUCUUUCAGCAUUAUCUCAAUGACUUGGUAGACAAAGCAUGUUAUGAAUAAAUGCUUAGUGUGAUCAGGACUUCAAUAUAUUGGUGGUGUUGUACAUGAUCAUUUGUCAUAUAUAUCUGUAGUUUCUGGAGCUGUAAUAUGUGAAAUACUCUAUAAAUACUCCAUUCAUCCAUACUGAUCAAUGCAUAUUUGUCUUUGCUUUUUUAGAAAAGAAAAAAAGAAAAAAUAAAUCUUGGAAAUCCCAAAAUGAUUAAUUUGUGAAAUAUCAUUAUUUAACAAAAUAAAAAAAACACAUGAAUAUAUAAACCCCACUACAUCAUUUUCUUUGAAAUACCCUGUCGCGGUUGGUGAAAUAGAAGGGAGAAUUAUGUUUUGGGUCUGGCCCGAAAAUUGACUAAAAUUUCACAUAUUAUACACAUUUAAACCCAAGACCCAAAUAAAGUGUAAAAAUUAAGUUAAAGGAUAUUCUUAACCCCUACAUAGGCACACAGUGAAUGUAAAUUUCAAUUUUUUUUUUCCCUUUUCUAUUCCCAAUUAAGUAUUACUCACUUUUAACUUUUGUUCUUUUUUUAAAGAUAUUGAAUCUUUUUACUCAAGGAUAAAAAAGUUUCAUAUAAAAUUUAAUUUUUUUUAUUAUUUUCAUAUAAAAAAUAGUAUUAAACAAGGUUUUCAAUUUUUAUUUUUAAAAAUAGUUUUCAUUUUUUAAUUAAAUAUUUUUUCAAAAAUAAAAUAUAAAAAAUAUAAAUCAUAUUACCAUUUUUUUAGAAAGUAUUUUUUUAAAUAGUUUUUGAAAGUAAUUUGUCUUUAUUUAUAAUUUAAAAUAGAAAAUAAUGUUGAUUUUCACUUAUUUAUAAAAGAACGUUUUUAAAAAAAUGAAAAAUCUAAAUUAUUAAAAUAUAAUUAUUAUGGUUGCAUGAAUACUGGUGCAAUAAAGACCAAAAAAGUUUAUGUGAAAGGUCAACCCUAGUUUUAGAGUUUGGACUCGUAAAAACUCAAAAUUACUCAAAAUUCAUCUAGGAAUAGCCAAAGUUGAUGAUCUUGUUUCUAUAUAGAGCAAGUGAUGAUUGAGAACCAUCUACCUAGUCUAUCUAAUUAGUUAUGUGAUGCAAGGUGAAAAACCUUCUUUUAUUUCAUAACAUGAUUCUAUUUUAUAGACCAUAAAAUCAAUUCUUUGUUUGGUAACUCAUAUUGUAGUAAACCUUAAGAACCUAAAUCCCCCAUGUGUUUGACAUAAAUUGGGAAUUUUUGUUGUAAUAUGUGAGUCAUAUUGGGAGAAAGAUAUAUACGGAGAAAAAUAGGCCAAUGUCAAAGUGGAGCGGAGUGGAACGAUAGCAUUUGUCAUUUAAAUUUGUAUUUUUAUUAUUAAGGGUGAAUGAGAAGUUGGGGGGUGUGAGGGGACAACACCUCCUGUGGUAUGGUUUAGGGGUAUUUUUUAAAUUUUAUUACUUAAGAGUUAAUAUAAAUGUUUUUUUAUAUAACCUUAAUUUGACAUAUAGUGAAUUCUUCCCUAUUCUCAUAAACGUAGACAAUCCGUCGUUAAAUUUAUGCGUCUUUUUGUUUUUCUCUAAUUUCUUCAGCAAGAAUCGUUGCACGAAUAUCAACAAUUUUGAACCUAAUCUUAAGUUGAGUUUGAUCCUAGUCGGACGUAUUGAUGAUGGAUUUGACGAAGAUUACUUUCAAACCCGCUCAAAGACUCAAACCGACCUAACUUUGAAUUGGUUAAAAUAAUUUUAUAAAGUGAAAUGAUUAAACUUCUUACUUUUUGGCAUUGGUGUUUGUGCUUCCAAAUAGUUUUCCAGAUGUUCCCAAUGAGUUUGGAGAAGAGUGUUAGGAUUUCCUAUAAUUAUGCAGAAUAAUUAUAAGCCUAAUUCUUGCAAAACAAUCAUAACCCUAGUUUUAGAACUUUGUGAUUUUCAUAAAGUAAAUAAAUAAUAAAAAGAAUAGUCAUUAAAUUCUAACUUUUAAACAAUGUUCAGAAAAAUAAAGUUAACACCAAAAAUCCUAAUAAUAUCAAAAUCUCAUCCUAAUUAUCAUUCAUAGUUUGAACAGAGGGUGUCUAAAAAAUUGUUAAUGAAGGGAAAUGAGCUUAAAACCCAAUAGAAAAUAUUAAUACAGCUUCACAGAUAAUUUUUUUUUUAAUAAAGAUUAUAAAUAGAAAAUAUAAUGUAUAAUCCUUUUUAUAAAAACUUUUUAGUUUAAACAUGUUAAUACAUUCAAACUUUUUAACAAAACAUUUUUAUAUUAAUGUCAAAACAAUUUUAUAUUAAAUUCAAAUAAAAUAUAUUCAAAAUAUUUUUAUUCUGGUUAUCAAAUAUCAAAUGGUGCUCAAUUAUGUGAGACUUUACAAAUGGGUGGUUAGCCUCAAAUUUGUUUCUUUUACGACGAACCAAAUACUACUAAUACUAGUAAUCUCUAACCAAACCUCUAGAGAUUGGGGUUCAAAUAAAUUACAUUCUUCACUAUAAAAUGUAAAUGUCAACUAUUAUAUCUCAUUAAUAUGGGUUAAAAAGUCAACUAUUAUAUUCAGUAGAUAAGGGCCAAAAAGUCCGAAUAUUAAAUCCUGUUACCUAUGGCCGGCUAAAAAAACCAAAGUCAAACACUUUAUUUUAUUUAUUCAAAUUUAUAAAAACAUAAUAUUUUCACAUGUUUAUGUUAUAAACAAAAAAAAAAUUUAAUAUAUUUUUUAUGCAAAAUAUAUUUGAUUUAUGCAUAAAAACAAAAAUAACAUUUUACACAUUUUAAAAUAACAUGUCAAAAGAAAAUUUUUUUUUUUUUUUACAAAAUCUGCAUUAAUUUCCCUUACGUCGAAAAAAAACUUAGAAUCCUUGAAGAAUUUAAUUAUGUAUAAACAACUUUUCAUCUAAUAAUAUAAGAAAAACAAUUAUAUAUUACUAUUAACUAUUUGUCUAAAAUUAAUUAUAAGUUUGAUAAUCGUAAAAAUUUAUAUAUUAAUAUUAAUAUUUAUAAGUAUCAAUGAUAAUUUAAUUAUUUUAUUCCUUGUUUAAGUAAAAUUAAUAAAUUUCUAAUUUAUAUAAAACUUUUUUCUCUAGUUUGAUUCUAAAAAAUAAAAAUACAUUACUAAUUUAAUUAAACUACAAUUUUUAUUUCAUUAAUUAAAUUUUAUUUAUUUAUUAACUUAACAUCUAUCCUCAUUAGCAUUAUUAUACCAUCAACCAACCUUGUAAUUCACCCAACUCUCAACACCUAAUUAAUAUUCAUAUAUAUUUUCCUCAUUCUCCCAAUAAAGGUAGGUAGGACUCGCUUAAUUAUCUUUUUCUUAUUUUAUUUCUUUUCUUUCUUGCACAAACCACACACUCAUGGCUACAUUCUUUUUUUUUUUUUCCUACAAACUUCCAAAAAUCACACUGUACACACUCGCCAAGGAACUAAAAGCUAAUUUUUAUUUUUUUUAAACACCCAAAUUCUUUUUCUUUUUUUCUUUUUUUCUUUUAUAUAUGUUGUCAAUACCACCCCAAAUCCAUAAAUCCUUUUUCUCUUUUUCUAAUACCCUAAGCAUAUAAUAUAUAUAUAUAUAUAUAUAUUGAAGAUUUAAGAUAUAUUAUUUAUUUAUUAUUGUUUUAGAUCUACUAAAAAAAUAUUCAGAAUUUCCUAUCUAUAUCAAUAAAUCAACAUUUAUUCAUAAAUUUUCACUCUUUUUAUUUAGAAUUUAAAUAAACAAAUUAUAUUCUAGAUUGAGAUUUUUAAAGAAUAUUUAAGUGUUUAAAACUAAUUAACAAAUAUAAAAUACUAAUUAAAAUUCUACUUGGAAAACUAAUUUAAAACCCUAAACCUCCAAACCUUCAGUUCUAUAUUGUCUUCAAGGAUUGAAAUAUCGGUUUUUACGGAUAUAUCGGUACUUCAAUUUUACGGAUAUAUCGGAAAUAUCGGAGAAAUAUCGGUGGAUAUUUUUUCAUAAAUAUCGGUGGAGUGAAAAAUAUUUAAAAUUAAUAGGAAUGCUUGAAAAAACUUCAAAAAAUGAUAACAUAAGUAAGAAUACACAUUUUAAAGUUAUCUUGUAAGUGUAAUUGAUAUAUAUAUAAUUAAGAAGAAAAAUAUCAUAAAUAGAGAUAUAUUGGUAGAUUCGAUAUUUGAAUUUUAAAAAUAAUAUAUAUGAAUUUUGAAAGUGUAUAAAGUUAAAAUUGAGUUAAGAAAUAUGAGAUUGCAAUAGUCCUUAUACUAAGAAAGAUAUCGAUGUAGUUUCAAUAUAUUAUUAGAUGAAGGGAGUUCAUCUUGUUGAAGACAGUAUUUAUUUUAAAAAUUUUAAAAUAUUUUUAUUAAAACAUAUUUUAUUAUAUUUUAAAUGAAAAAUUAAAUUAAUUUAUAUAAAAUAUCUUAUUUGAGAUUUAAUUUUUAAAAUUUUAUUAAAAAUAUGUGAUAAUAACUUUUUCUAUUAAUAUUAAUUUAUUUAAUAAUAAAAAUAAAGGUUGAUAAUUAAUAAUUAUUUAUAUAGAGAGUGGAAAAUUGUUCUCAUGAUUUUUUUACAUAUUUUAUUAUAUUUUAAAUGAUAAAUUAAAUUAAUUUAUAUAAAAUAUCUUAUUUGAGAUUUAAUUUUUAAAAUUUAUUAAAAAAUGCGAUAACAACUUUUUUUAUUAAUAUAAAUUUAUUUAAUAAUCCAAAUAAAAGUUGAAAAUUAAUAAUUAUUUAUAGAAAAUUGUUCUCAUGUUUUUUUUAUUUUUUAUUUUUUAUUUUUUUAUCUCCCCUAAAUCUAAAAAUAAAAAAAAAUAAAAAAGGCACCCACUUCUCUCUCGGGCAUCAAGAACCCUUUUCUGAAGGUGUCUUCUAGUGAGAGAAUCCCUAAAAAGCCCUAUUUUCCUCUGCUACUCUCAAAUCUCAAUCCUCGCAGGUACUAAUCUAAUCAUGUUAUUAUUAUUUUUUUUUUUGCAACCCCCGUUUGAUUCCCAAGAAAAUCCAUCCCCAUUCGAUUUCCGGGAAAAUUCAUCCUCGUUUGAUUUCCGAGAAAAUCCAUUCAAAACUCCCAAAGAAAACCAAAAAAAUUGCUUUUCUUUUGCUCCCUGUGUUUUCUGGAUCUGUUUUAGGGGUCUCUUUGCUGUUGUGCCAUUGGAUUUAAAUUUCACGAACCCUAAAUCCACGAUUUUUGAGCCAGGCUGAAAAACACAACUGCGCGGGCUGGACUGGUAGGAAAUAUCGCGAUUUUUCUCCGAUUUUUCGGUGCUUCACCGAUAUUUCGCCGAUAUAUCGGCGAUUUUGUCGAUUUUUGGCCGAUUUUUCCGUCGAUCGAUAAUCGGUGCCGUUUAUCGUUUCCAUGCCGCCCGAUAACCGAUAUUUCGACGAAAUAUCGGCGACAUUUUCCGAUUUUUCAAUCCAUGAUUGUCUUAUGUUCUUUGAUCUUUUUCUAAUCUCAGUGUAAAAGGAUUUCAGUAUAGAGAAGUUAAAAAAAUCUAAUUUAUAUUUAAGGUUUAUAAUACAAAAAGACCUUUCUAACCUUAUUAAAAAAAAUUAUUUUACUCUAAUUUAUGGUUUUACCCCUAACAACAAAAUGGGGGUUGUCACAUAAGGAGCCAAAUAAUUAAAUAAUUUUUAAAAAAUAAUUUAGAACUUAAAAAAAGUGUUUGGUCCGAUAGGACUGAACUACCUUAUAAUCCGCUGUUAGCGUUUAGCUUGGCACUUAGAAAGAAGAGUCUCUAUCACCUAAUUUAUAGGAAUAAGAGAAUUUUUUUAGUGGGCAACUCUUGUUUAGUGAUUACGCAUAGCCCUUUGUCUUUCAAAAUCUGUGAGUUGUGCCAAUAUAGACCUUAUCCCACGAAAGGUGAACCCGGAUGUACAGAAACUUUCUUGUUCACACUUAUCGGCUUUCAAAAGGGGAACGGAGAGACUUGACUGAUAACAAAAGAAAAGAAGAGAAAGGGACGGGACUUUUACGAGCUCUCCAAAACAGGCUAAGAGUCUAGCUUGUCUUUGCCCCUGCCCUACCUUAGCUUUCCUCUUUAGACUUCUUUUAAGAUUCUGGUCUACCUGCCCGCUUUUCGCCUUGGGAAAGACCUAGCGAUUGCCGGGGCAUAUGAAGAAUACUUCGAAACUGCUGGAUGCAGAAGACAGAUUUUAUGUUGGAAAUGCCACUCCUUCUACUGCUAUUCCCACUUCUGGAAGGAAGUGUUUUUCUAUUUUCUUUAGUAAUAUAUAUGUCACACCCUAAGACCCACUCUAAGGGCGUGACGGUCAUUUUACACCUCAAACCCGAAGGCUUAAAGUAUAACCUGACCCAAACAAUCAUAUUGUAAUUGGAAGUAACCAAUUACCAAAAACCUGUUCAGAGUAGCAGAACAAAAUUCUAAAAUCUCCAAACUUAACUUUAGAACUAAGCAUCCAUUAUCCAAAUAGAUUGCAACUCAACAAUUCAAGUACUAACGAAUUUUUAUAAUCUCCAAAUCUCAACUUCAAUCUAUCAUAAAAAAAAAAAAAUUUAAAAGCUCAAUAUCUAAAUAGCUUCCAAAAACUAAAUAAACCAAAUGAACAUAAACUUAUAAGCUAACAAUAUUCAAAAAUAACAUCCUAAGAAAAAUCCUAAUGAUGACCAAUUUUCCCGCCUAGUCAUCACUCCUCGCCCGAACUAAAGGUACUUGAAAAAUUUUCAACAAUUGGGAAUAAGCUCACAACCCAAUAAGGAAUAUUAAUGCAGUUCAUGGAUCAAAUAUUUUCAUUUCAAAUAGAAGAUAUCAUUAUUAUUUUUUUCUCAUCAAAUAUCAGAGUUUCAAAAAUACCAAUAUAUUCAAAUUUCAACCAACCAUUUUCAUAUCAAAUUCAAACACUUUCACAUAAAAUUCAAUCAAAUCUAUUCAAUUUUCAUUACUCUGGUUAUCAAAUAUCAAAUGCCCAUUUAGGUGUGACUUUUCAAAUGGGUGGCUUACUCCUUAUCCCCAUCUUCACCCAGGCUAACGGGGCCCUCCUUAUUCAGGGGGGAGAGUGGAGCCUCGAGAAGCACUGUUGAGAGGAAGAUCCUUGGCCCCUCUUCAUUCUCUACAGGGUUCCAAACCUUUCUUCAACAUAGGUGACAACGAGUGGGGCAGAGAUGGAAGAGAUCGAACACGGGAAUAAGAAGCAAGCUCGCCUUCCUUUUUUAUCAUUUUGAUAGACGGGAAUGGAGAAAGUAGACAAAACAGACCCGCAUUUCCCAAUCGAGGGUUCCUUUUUCGUCUCGCAUUUCUGGAAAAGAAGAAUAUUGAAAACUCUCCUAACCCAACCCCUUCCUUCGUAGAGCCGUGUAUUGUAAGUGAUCUGAACCUGCCCGGAGUGAGCCCCCCAUAGAGGCAAGUGAAGUUGGUGAGCCGUAUGAUGGGCAACUAUCUCCUGCAGUUCGGAGAGGACUCAACUGUUAGUUAGUAACUCCUUGGAUUCGGGGUGGACCCUUUCACUCUAUUUUAUUAUAUACGGUUCGCAAAAAGAAUGUUUUUUGAUACACCUAAGGACAUGGAUUCUAUAUGAACCAAUGGAUCGUGACAAGUCGUUACUACUAGCAAUGACUUCCUCUUUCAUUACUUCAUCCUUUCUAUAUCCCUCUCCCUUGUUCUUAGUUACUCAUCAAAUGGCACUCAGUUCAUAUCUUUAAGUUCGAUCAUUGACAAGGUUCAAAGAAAGGGUGGGCCAUUGAUAAAGAAUCGAUUCCAAACCACAAUGCUAGCAGAUGGCGGAGACUCAAUUAAUUUCAAAUUUUCAACCAAAAUAAUUAAAAAUAUCCCAAAUGUAUGUGUAUUAAAAGAAACUAAAUUAUUCAUUUAACUAGAAAGAGUAAAUUCAUAAUUUAUUUAAAAAAUAAUAUUAACUAUUAACAUUUUCUAAAAUAUUAUUAUUCAUUUAAAAUAUAUAUAUAUAUAUAUAUAAUUUUUAUUUUUAUUAUAAUGUUAGUUUCAUAUUUUAUGAAUAUUAUAUGUGUAUUAUUUAUUUAUUUCGUCUUUAGAAUUUACAUAAUAUUGAUAUUCAUUUUAAAAUAAAUUAAGGUUUAUGCAUGUGGCUAUUUUUAAAAUACUAUAAUUUAUUCUUAGAAAGUUUAAUAUAUUAUUAGUUAUUUUUUAUAGAAAAUUUGCUAUUAAUAUGUAAGAAAAUCUUUUAAAAAAUGUUUAAUAAAUAAAUAAAUAACCAUUUAGCAAGAGGAGUUUGUAUAGUGGGUGAGAAAAAUGAAAUAAAAGCCACGGCGCUAGGAGAUCUCUUUCGUGGCAAUGAAUCUAUUAUAUAAAUGGAAAAUGUGAAUGAACUAUUUGCCAUGUUAAUUUUUUUGAAAUAGUGUAAGGAAACAUAUUUUGGUUGUUAGAUGUUUUCCAUAAGAAAAGUAUGUUUGGAAACUUAAAUGAGUUCAAUAUUUUUUUUUAAAUAAUAAUAAUAAUAUUUUUUAUUUACAACACUUUAUCUUCUUCUUUUUUUCAUAUUUACAUAAUUAUUUUUUAAAAUAAAUAAAAAUAAUUAAUAUAUGUUCUUAAAAAACUCUAUACUUUAAAUAAGUUCUCAAAAAUAAUAUUUUAUAUUAAAAAUUAUCAAAUAUGUUUUCUAACCGACAAGACAAUUCCAAUCUUAUUCAUAAUUUUCCUAAUAAGAAAUGUGGUUCAUGAUUGGUUGGUGGUUAGUCACUAUCCAUUGAAUUCAUAGAAGUAAAUGUUUAUACACCUCAUCUACCAACAAUGGUUCUAUCCUCAUCGAGUCAUGUGCAUACCAUUUAGUUUACAUUUUAAAAUUCUGAAAUAGAAAAAUGAAAUGAAAAUUAAUAAAAAAAAAUAUUUAUUAAUAUAUUUGGAUUAAUUGUUUUAUAGAAUGAGAAUAUGAAUAAAAAUUUUAUUAAUAUAGAAAACAAAUUCUACUUUUAUGAGGAUUUUGAUUCCUUUGUUCUAUGUGAUAGUGAUUUAUCUUACGUUUGGUGGAUUGAAUAAUAUAUAAUAUGUAUAUUUUAAGAUAUCAUAUCCUUUCCUUAUCCAAUUUAUUUAUAAGAUUUGUAUUUAUCAUUCAAAACUUAUCUUUUAAUAAGUCAAUUAAUACAAAGCUAUUAUGUAGUCAUAUAUUCGUCACUUUUUUUUUUAUGUUGAUAGAGAAUUUAACUUUUUGCCAUUGUAUCUUAUUUUUAUAUAAUUAUAUUAUAUUUAUUUUAUUUUUUAUAUUAAGUUUUAAAUGUAACUCAUAAUUGGUUGGAGGGUUAGAGACUUCGUAAUAUUAGAAAAAUAAAUUACAUCCUUAUCCCACAAACAGGGUAACAACAUAUAAAUCUUUUUAUCUAUCACUCAAAAACCACAUUUUAGUGAGGCAAGCUAUACAAAGCCAUUGUAUAGUUAUAUAUUUGUCUCAACUUUUCUUUAAGUUGACAAUGAAUUUAAUUUUUUGCGCUAAUAUCUUAUUUUUAUAUAACUGUACUCCAUUUAUUCUUCUGUAUUAAUUUUUAAAUGUGGCCCAUAAUUGGUUGGUGGUUUAAUUAUUAUCAAUGGUUUAAAUUGAUCCAAUUAUCGACUAAUGACCUUUCUGAUCUAAUUCACACCUUUAAGUCGUUUGAUCAUUGAAUUUAUAUUAUUAAGAAACAAGUUGCAUCUUCAUCCAGCUAACAUACUAAUGAUAUUACAAGCUUUUCAUUGGCAAUUCAAAAGCCAAAUUUUAGUAGGAAAGGCAAUACAAAGCCAUUUUAUUUUCAUAUAUUCAUUUCAAUUUUUAUUUUUUAUGUUGACAAUGAAUUUAAGGGUUUUUUUUUUCUUUUUGCCCUUUUAUCUCUUUAUAUAUAUAUAUAUAUAUUCCAUUUCUUGCUUUCAUAUUAAUUUCCAAAUGUGACCCUUAAUUGGUUGGUGGGUUAGUCAUUGUCUAUUAAGUUUAGUUGCAUCCUUAUCAAGCUAAUGUGUCAAUAACAUGCUAACAACAUUUAAAAUUUUUCACUAAGACAAUCAAUACAAAGUCAUCAUGUGUCAGGACCCCAAAAUUUGUCCCAAUUUUAUUUUUACAUUAAUUUCGAGCUCAAUUUUAUGCUUAGGUUUCAAAUCCCAAUUACAUGUUUUUUUAACACACUCAUCAUUUAAUAGUUUUUAUUAUUUUAUAUAUUAUAUUAUUAUUAUUACUUUUUAUUAUUAUUAUAUUAUAUUAUAUUAUAUUUUUAUUUUUUUAUUUUUAUUUUUAUUUUUAUUUUCUCUCUCCUCUCUCCUCCCUUCCUACUCCCCAACCACUUCUCUCUCCUCCCAUACUCUCACCACCGCCACCAUCCCAUUUACCAUAAUUUUUUUUCAUUUUGCCCCCAUUUUUUCUCCCCAUUUUCGCCCCCACUUUUCUCUUCUUCACACAUGCUGGCCCCCACCACUCCUCUCUCUCCCCCACUUUUUCCCCCCCAAAUUUUCUCCCUUCUUCCGACGUACGGCCCUUGGAUUUUUUUUCUCCCUUCCCCCUCAUUUCUUUCCUUUGGUCCUCCAUUUUCAUGCUUUCCCCCACAAUUCUCGAGGUCAAGCCCCCCAUUCCGCCCCCAUUUUUUUUCCUCCAUUCUCUCCAUCUUCUUCCUCCUCUCCUCACUCCCCCGGCCGGCUCUCUCCCCAUUCUUCUUUUUCCACCUUUUUCUUCUCUCUCCCACACGGCAGUAGCUCCCCCUGAUUCUUUUUUUUUUUUUUUCAUUUUUGUUUUUAAUUUUUUUUUAUUGCUUCCCUUCUCAAAAGACCCACACAGCCGGCCUCCCCAUCCUCUCUUUUCCAUUUUUUUUUCUCUUUUUAUUUUUCCAUCUUCUCAUUUCUCUCAUCCCCUCACUCCCCCAUCACACACGUUUUUUUAUUAUUAUUAUUACUAUUAUUAUUAUUAUUAUUACCUUUUUUAAAUUUUUUCUUAUUUUAAUUUUAAUAGUAAUUGUUAUUAAAAUUGGGUUUGUAUAUUUAUAUUUGUUUAUGGGUCUUAUGUUUGAGUUUUGUUAAUUAAUAUAAAAUUUGAGUUAAUUUAUUAUUGAUUGAUUAAUUUAAAAUUUGUUAAUUUGGUUUUGUGAAUAUAUUACAUUUAGUGAUCAAUGUAGGAUAUUUGGAUUAUAUCAAUUACAUAUUAUUUAUUGGGAUUUGGGCCUAUUGUUAAUUUGUUAUUUGUUUAGGCUUAUUGAAUUAGGCUUGAAAUAUUAUUUCUCUUGACUAAGCAUAUUUUUUAUAUGGGCUUAUUAAUUAAUGUGAAUUUUGGGGCACAGAAUGUGGGUGAGAUUUAUUGGAUUAUUUGAAUAUUUGAUAUGAGUUUGGCAAAUUUGAAUUAUUUAAUUUGGAUGUGGGACAAUUGUGGUGUAUAUUAAAUUAGGCUUAGAUUAUGGAAUAUUAAAUUUAGACCUAAUAGAAUUUAUUUUAAUUUAUCCAAUUUUAGGUUUGGUUGAUUGUAUUUGUAUUUUUUGUUAUUAAUUUAGAUGUUUUGGGUUAAGACCUAUAGUAAUUUGGGCUCAUUUUAAUUGGCAAAAUUUAUGAUACUAAUUUGAAAUUGGAAUUUAGGAUUGAAUAUCUGCUUGAGAUUUUGCAAAUCUUUGGGUAUUUACAUUUGUGCUAUCUUUGUUUUUGCAUGGAUCCAUUAUGCAAUUUUGUUACGUGGAGUUUGUGGCAAGUUUAUUUUGACACAUAUUUUAUUUCCCACUUUUAUUUGGUUUUAUUUUUAUUAAUUCUUGUAAAUAUUUAUUUGUAUAUAUUUAUUGAAUGUGUACAGAAUUGAACAUCGAACAAAUUAGAAAUUUUGUUUAAAUGAGAGGAAGAAUUCAGUAAAUGUAUUUUGAUAAAACAAUAAUUUUAAAAUAUUAUUUUUAAUAAAAGAAAGUUUUUAUUAUUAUUAUUUAUAAAAAUCCAAAAGAAUUGUUUUUAAUAGAAUUUGAAAAAUUGUUUUUAAUAACAUUGUCCAAAAAUUUCUUUGCUUAAUAAAAAUUGUCCAAAAAUUGUUUUGUAAAUAAAGUUGUGCCAAAAAUUAAUUUUUAAUAAAAUUGUCCAAAAAUAUUCUUUUAAAUGAAUUCUUUUUCUUUAAUUAAAAUGGGAUUAAAAGUGUUUUUUUUUUAGAAAUAGAGGAUUUAAUUUUAUUUUUUUAAAAUUUAAUUAAAAUUUCUUUUGCAAAUAAAGUUAUGUUCGCUUUUUUUAAAUGAAAAUAAAUCAAAAUAUUUUUGUAAAUAAAAUUGUAAAAACUCAUUAUUUUCUAGUUAAAAACAAGUAAAAAUAAUCUUUAUACCCAAAUUGGACUUUUGUAAUAAAUUCUUCUCAUACAAUAAGUGUAAAUAACUUUUCUUAAAAAUUAAAUACAAAUGAAAUUGAAUCAAAUCACUUGAAGAAAAUGUUUUGUAAAUACAUAAAUUGAAAUCAUCAAUUCAAGAUCAUUUUUUUUUAUAAAAUCCUUUGAAAUUUCUUGGAAAUUAUUAUUAUUUUUUUUAUUUUUUAUUAUUUAGUUCAAUUAAUCAAUUUUUGCAUAAUUCUUUUAUUAUUUAUUUUGUAUAUUUUUGUAAUAAGAUUUCAUCAUUAUUUUUGUAUAUAUUGAUUUUCACCAUGACUUGUAUAUACUUAUUUGUAUGAUUAUUUUUUGGUAUCCAUAAUUAAUUAAUUAAUUAAUUGUCAUAAUUCCUUCAAUUCGUUUAGUAGAGGCCGUAUGUAUACGGGCUUAGAGGAGUGUUACAGCUCAUCACCGUACCUUCCCAAUAAGUAACCUGACCUCCGAACCCAAUUUUGAUUUUCCACAGACCUGUUUUUUUUUUUCCUUCAAAAGUCACACUUAGGGUCUUUUUUUCUUAUUUUAUUUUUCCCUUUAAAAAAAAUAAAAUAAGUGGCAACUUCAAGCCUUUUUCUAAAAAUCAAUUUUUCAUUAAACAAAUAAUAAAAAAACGAGUCACGCCGUCGAGUGGGAACGCACAUAAAAAUGCGGGGUCCACACACAUUUGUCUCAAUAUUUUUCCUUUUUUUUUUUUUUUUGCACUUAUAUCUUACUUUUAUAUUAUUAUAUUUCGUUUCUUUCUUUUGUAUUAAUUCUCAAAUGUGAUCCAUAAUUGGUUGGUGGGUUAGUUAUUGUUCAUUGAAUUUAUAUCACUCAAAGAGCUAAGUUGCAUCCUCAUCUAACAUGCUAACGACAUUUAAAACUUUUUAUUUGUUACUUAAAAGUCACUUUUCUUUAAGACAACCAAUACGAAGCUAUCGUGUGGUCAUGUAUUCAUUUAAAAAAAAUAUAUUUUAUUUUUCAUUUUUGAUGUUGACAAUGAAUUUAAUUUUUCACACUUAUAUUUUAUUUUUAUAUAAUAAUAUUCCAUUUCCUUCUUAUAUAUUCAUUUUCAAUGGUGACCCAUAAUUGGUCGGUAGAUUAGUCAUUAUUCAUUUAAUUCAUAUCACUAAAAAAUAACUUAAAUCAUCAUCUAGUUGAUAUGUUGAACCAUAUUUAUUAUUUACAUUUCUUAACCAACUUAAUCUUUUGAUAAUAACGACAAUUCAAAUUCAUGAGAUAGUAUGUUUUUAUAAUUUUUUUAUUAGUAACGGAAAAUUCUCAUCGAUAGACUUUUGUCAACACAUUUUUCCCUAACUAUCAUGUAUUGAGAUUAUCCGUUGAUAAAUAUUUAUUCAGAUAAUGUAUAUUAAUGAAGAAAAGUAAAAUUUUUUGUAAUAUGUUAACAAUGAGUUUAAUUUUUUGCACUAAUUAAUAUUUUAUUUUUAUAUAAUUAUAUUUCAUUUCUUUUUUAUAUUAAUUUUCAAAUGUGGAUAAUUUGUAGGUGGAUUAGUCAUUGUUCAUUAAAUUACAUCGGUUCCAACAUGGUAGAAGCCAACUAUAACAAAAGUUGUAUUAUCAAAUGAAGUUCAUUUAAACCAGAUUUUUCUCAAUUCAAUUAAUCAUUAAGCCAGUCUAUUUUUGGGGUUUUGUUUUGUGUUGCACCAUAAUGCAAUUAAGUUGUUUGAUGAGAAGUCUAGCCAAAUUUGAUAUCGGCUGACCCAUGCAAGUUGUUUGAUGAAAACACAUCUAUUUGUACCAUGGAAAAAAAAUACAUGGCAUUAUUAAAUUUCAGACUAUAAUGUAAUGCCAUGAUCAAAAGGGUUGAAAAUAUGAGAAUAAUUAAACUCAGUAAAUUAAAAUGAUAGCAAAAUUUUAACCACAUUGUUGUGGUCUUCUUGAGCAGUAAAGCAAUUAUAGUAAGCGUCUAAUUAAUCAAGUAAAAUAAUUAUUAUUAAUUAUAAUAAUUUAUUUUUAUUGUAUAGAUAUUAUUAAUGCGCAGCUUUUUGUCUUAUUGACGAGGCAGGUAAUGUUUGCUCACCCAUUUUCCUUGCUCUCCUGUGGAAAUUGUUCCUACAUGCAUUUCAGCCCUUGCAGUGCCUGCGUCCACACUUUUAAUGCUACGUCCGUAUUUCCAUUUAUCAGCUUAGGUUAGAUAAAAAAUGCAAAAGGUAAAAUCAGAUAUAAUAGAAAUUAGGCUCUGUAUGUCAUAUAUUUGUGCUGCGAGUAUAGGAGAUUGGGAAUUUGGAAUUGGAUUGAAGUAAAAAAGUCAAAAUGAAAUUACAAUAAGAGUACGGUAAAGAGAUAACGUUGGGACACCAGUACGGAUGUACACUUCAAGGAAGUAGGCCAUGCCAUGUCAUGCCACCUGGAACAAAAUAAGGGGUUCUACAAAUUCUCUUAUCGGAAUCAUUUGAGAUAUAGAAUGGAUGCAUAGAAGGGAAGGAGACUCCUCCUCCUCCUCUAAAACUAAUUUUUGUGUGUAGGUGAGAAGUUGGGAUUCCCCGAUCAAUUAAACAUGGCUGAGGAGAGGGAUCCAGUAGAGUUGGGCAUGGCACUCGGCGCAGAUUCGAACAUGAAGAAGACGGCGUAACAGCUAAGAAGAGGGCAAAACGGUGGGCAAUCACCGCAGAAGCGAGCAUGGAAAGAGAGAAGGGGACGCUUGAUCAAGAUGAAGAUGAUUUGUGUGUAGGUGAGAGGUUGGGAUUCUCCGAUCAAUCAAACAGGUCUAAGGAGAGGGAUCUAGUAGAUCAGUUGGGCAUGGCACUCGGCGCAGAUUUAAACAUGAAAGAAGACAAGGAAACAAGUAAGAAGUGGAGGGCAGAUUCGACACUGAUCAGCUCAGAUUCGACAAUGGAAGAAAACCCUGUACCGCCUGAGGUGUGGGUGCCAGAAACCUCGCCAAUCUUCGCAGAUACUAAGAUGGAAAUAGACAUCAGCUCAUAUGUGACAAUGGAAGAAUACCGAGUACCGCCGUGGGUGCCAGAAGCCAGGGUAGUAGGCAUGCCAAUCUCCGCAGAUGCGAACAUGGAAAUAGACAGGGAAACGCAUCUUGUAAGAAAUAUAAGUGCUCGUUCCACACAGGGACUCCACGCCCCCGCUGAUGAAGAUGAAGAUGCGGAGCAUAAGAAAUUAAUGGACCGCCGCAUGCACGCGCAAGCGACCCAAGGAAAUGUUGAUGGCUUUAUUAAAAUUUUAGGCUCGAUAUCCUCCGAACAGGACCUUCAACACUCAGAAAUUCUCUGCCAAGUUAGUCCCCGGAAAAACACAUGCCUCCACAUAGCAGCAAGCUUUGGACACCAUGAUCUUGCCAAGUACAUAGUGAGAGAGUGUCCAGAUCUUAUAAAAAAUAAAAACUCCAAAGGCGAC
RNAcentral lists this long non-coding RNA (51840 nucleotides) under Vitis vinifera (wine grape). Lineage: Eukaryota; Viridiplantae; Streptophyta; Magnoliopsida; Vitales; Vitaceae. The record is from RNAcentral.